This 48596-nucleotide long non-coding RNA is filed under the name Pelobates cultripes (western spadefoot toad). Lineage: Eukaryota; Metazoa; Chordata; Amphibia; Anura; Pelobatidae. The record is from RNAcentral.
GAACAUGUUCUGUGGUACCUAACGCCAAGACCAGCUGAUUCUUUAAGUCCUGUAAGUUGCGAGGUGGACCUCCAUGGAUCAUGUUGUUGUUCCAUCACAUCCCAUAAAUGCUAAAUCAGAUUGAGAUCUGGGGAAUUUGGAGGCCAAAGUAACACCUUGAAGUCUUGGUCAUGUUCCUUAAACCAUUCCUGAACAAUGUUUUAAUUGUGGCAGGGUGCAUUAUCCCGCUGAAAGAGGCAAGUUCUGGUAUAAGAUGUAUAGGAUAUACAUUCUGGUAUGUUUUUUUUUUUUAACCAAGGGGUUUAAAUAUAUUUAUGUCCAAAUGAAAGUCAAAGAUUGAAAAGCUAUAUUGGUGUGGCAUUUUACUUGGAAAACAGUUGAUUAGAUAUUUAUCUGGACAGAAAGACAUUAACACUAUCUUAUUUCCCAGUCUGUAUUUGAGGUAUGACAUCAGAGCAUAAACAAUAACAUUAUUUAUACAGGCAUAAUUAGUAAUCAGGCUUGAGUUAAUCAUUAGGGAAGAUAUUAGAAUUAUGUGAUACUAUUUUGAUAAAAGGCUGCUUGUGCCAUUAUUGUCUAAGUUAUCCAAACUACUUGGCCAAACUACUUAGCUUACUAGGAAAUGUUUGAAGUACUGAUAAAAAAAGAAAAAACCCUUUCAGACUAUUGUGAAACAGUGAUUAAUGUUUCAUUGUUGAAAAUGAAAAAAGAACUGUUACAGACAAAGCAGUAGUUGUUAAUAAAUCAACAUCAGUAAAACCACAAAAAUGGACAAUGAACAUCUUAUAUGUGUACCACAGUUAUAAUCAUAUUAACCCCUUAAGGACCGAGGACGGUUCAGGACCGUCAUCGGCAUUUUUGCCUUGAGGACCGAUGACGGUCCUGAACCGUCCUAACGGUCAGAGCUACUUACCUGAUCGCCGUCGUUCCCCCGGCGGCGAUCAGCGUGGCUCCGGUUGUGGGGAGACUGCCUGCAGCCCAGACAGUCUCCCCACACUGAUUUAGGACCCCUGUGGCCAUGUGAUCGCUUAACACAGCGAUCACAUGGUCACAAUAGGUGUCCAUGUGUCUGCCUGCAGGGGGACUGUCUGUGCUGACAGGCAGUCUCCCUGCAUGUGUAAAAUCAAAAAAUAAAAUAAAGUUAAUGUUAAUUAAAAAAAUAAUAAUAAUUAUAUAUGUGUAUAUAUGAUAUAUAGACAUAUAUUAUAUCUAUAUAAUAUAUGUCUAUAUAUCAUAUAUAUAAUGCCAUACUAAGUGUAUUUUUAUAUUAAUAUGUACUUAUAUUAAUAUAAAAAUACACUUAUAAUUAAAUUACACACAUAUAUAUAUAAUAUAUAUAAUAACUAUAUAUAUUGUAUAUAUAUAUUAUUAUAAAAUAUAAAUAAUAAGUAAUUUAAAUUAAAUAAUUUUUUUUUAAAUAAUAAUAAAAAUUUUAAAAAAAUUAUAUAGCUAUAUGAAAUUUUAUUCUAACUGUAUUUUAAAAUUAAUAUAUAUAUAUUUAUAUCAAAAUACACUUAGAAUGAAUUUGUAUAUAUAUCUAUGUAUAUAAAAAUAAAUAAAAAUAAUAAGAAAUAUACAUACGUCCAUAUACAAAAUUACAUAAAUAAUUAUAUAAAUAUACACGUAGACUUCAAAUAUAUAAAUAUGCAUAUAUAUUUAAAUUCUACGUGCGUAUUUAUGUAAUAUUUUUACAUAAUUCAGUAAUUUUAUUGAUUGCAAUUUGAGGGACCUGCCUGCCAACCCAGGCCGAAAUUCCAGAGAAUUUAAUUUGCUAGCACUGUAUUUUACCCUGUAACGUUCUACGACACCCUAAAACCUGUACAUGGGGGGUACUGUUUUACUCGGGAGACUUCGCUGAACACAAAUAUUAGUGAUUCAAAACAGUAAAACAUAUCACAGUGAUGAUAUUGUCAGUGAAAGUUACUUUUUUUGCAUUUUUCACACACAAACAGCACUUUUACUGAUGAUAUAAUUGUUGUGAUACGUUUUCCAGUUUUUAAACACUAAUAUUUGUGUUCAGCGAUGUCUCCUGAGUAAAACAGUACCCCCCAUGUACAGGUUUUAUAGCAUUUUUGAAAGUUACAAGGUCAAAUAUAUGGGUCAAAUAUUUUUACAUUGAAAAUGGCCAGGUUGGUUACGUUGCCUUUGAGAGCGUAUGGUAGCCCAGGAAUGAGAAUUACCCCCAUGAUGGCAUACCAUUUGCAAAAGAAGACAACCCAAGGUAUUGCAAAUGGGGUAUGUCCAGUCUUUUUUAGUAACCACUUGGUCACAAACACUGGCCAAAAUUAGCGUUCAAUUUAGUUUUUUUACUUUUUUCACACACAAACAAAUAUGAAUGCUUACUUUGGCCAGUGUUUUCGACUAAGUGGCUACUAAAAAAGACUGGACAUACCCCAUAUUGAAUACCCUGGGUUGUCUACUUUAAAAAAAAUAUGUACAUGUGGGGUGUUAUUCAGAGAUUUAUGACAGAUAAUAGUGUUACAAUGUCACUAUUGAUAAAUUUUAAAAAUGUAUGUUUUGAAACCGCAAUAUCCUACUUGUACCUAUAGCCCUAUAACAUGCAAAAAAAAGCAAAAAAGCACGUAAACACUAGGUAUUUUUAAACUCAGGACAAAAUUUUGAAUCUAUUUAGCAGUUUUUUCAUUCGCUUUUGUAGAUGAGUAAAAGAUUUUUCAAGUAAAAGUCAAAAAACAUGUAUUUUUUUCAAUUUUUCAUCAGAUUUUUGUAUUUUUUUUAAAUUAAAAUACAUGAGAUUAUAUAAAUAAUGGUAUGUAAAGAAAGCCCCUUUUGUCCUGAAAAAAACAAUAUAUAAUUUGUAUGGGAACAGUAAAUGAGAAAGCGGAAAAUUACAGCCAAACACAAACACCACAAAAGUGUAAAAAUAUGCCUGGUCGCAAAUGUACAACAUCGCAAAAACAGUCCAGUCCUUAAGGGGUUAAUAUUAUUCUUAUUAUAAGCAUAGGUUAUUGUGCAGCUAAAUUUAUAUUUCAUUACAAUUGGUUUUUAUUAACUAAACUAUUUAACCCUUUAGUGACCAGACCAGUUUUCAAUUUUCUUACCGUUUAAGGACCACUAUAGUACCAGGAAAACAAACUUGUAGUCCUUAGGUCCCCCCCACCCUCAUGGCCCCUCUCCCGCUGGGCUGAAGGGGUAAAAACCCCUAUAGCCACUUACCUUUCUCCAGUGCUGGGCUCCCUUGGUGCUGGUGACCUCUCCUCCUCCUGCCGACGUCAGCUCCGAAUGCGCAUGUGCGGCAAGAGCUGUGCGCGCAUUCAAACAGCCCAUAGGAAAGCAUUACUCAAUGCUUUCCUAUGGACGUCAGUGUCUUCUCACUGUAAUUUUCACAGUGAGAAUCGCGGAAGUGGCCUCUAGUGGCUGUCAGUGAGAGAGCCACUAGAAGCUGGAUUAACCGUCAGCAUAAACAUAGCAGUUUCUCUGAAACUGCUAUGUUUUCAGCUGCAGGGUUACAUCUAGAGGGACCUGGCACCCAGACCACUUACUUGAGCUGAAAUGGUCUGGGUGCCUAUAGUGGUCCUUUAAGGACCAGGGCUGUUUUUAAAUUUCUUCGGUGCUUGUGUUUAGCUGUAAUUUUUCUUUUAAUCAUUUACUUAACCCACACAUAUUAUAUACCGUUUGUCUCGCCAUUAAAUGGUCUUUCUAAAGAUACCAUUAUUUUCAUCAUACCCUAUAAUUUACUAUAAAAAAGUAUAAAAUAUGAGGAAAAAAAUGUAAAAAACACACCUUUUCUAGCUUUGCCCACCAAACUCCAAAAUCUGGUACGCAUCUACAACUGCCAAAAAACACCAAAGCUAAUUAGUUUCUACAUUUUAUCCUGAAUUUAGAAAUACCCAAUGUCAACAUGUCCUUAGAUUCUUCUUUUUUUUUGCAAGUUAUAGGGCUAUAAGUUACAAAUAGGACAUUGCUGUUUCGAAAUAUAUAUUUUUUAAGAUUUAUCAGUAGUGACAUUGUAACACAUAUUUUUUUUUAAAGUAGACAACCCAGGGUGUUCAAUAUGGGGUAUGUCCAGUCUUUUUCAGUAGCUACUUAGUCACAAAUACUGGCCAAAGUUAGCAUUUAUAUUUGUUUUUGUGUUAAAAAUGCAAAAAACAAUUAUGAAUGCUAGCUUUGGCCAGUGUUUGUGACUAAGUGGUUACUAAAAAAGACUAAACUUACCCCAUUUGCAAUACCUUGGGUAGUCUUCUUUUGCAAAUGGUAUGCCAUCAUGGGGGUAAUUCUCAUUCCUGGGCUACCAUACGCUCUCAAAUGCAACAUAACCAAUCUGGCAAAUUUCAAUGUGAAAAAACAGAAAAUCAAGCCUUAUUUUUAACCCUGUAACUUUCAAACAUACUAUUAAACCUGUACAUGGGGGGUACUGUUAUACUCAAGAGACUUUGCUGAACACAAAUAUUAGUGUUUCAAAACAGUAAAUCCCAACAUUGAUAUCAUCAGUGAAAGUGCCGUUUGUGUGAAAAAUGCAAAAAACUUCAUUUUCACUGACAAUAUCAUUGCUGUGAUAUGUUUUACUGUUUUGAAACACUAAUAUUUGUGUUCAGCGAAGUCUACUGAGUAAAACAGUACCCCCCAUGUACAGGUUUUAGGGUGUCUUGGAUAGUUACAGGAUUAAAUAUAGUGCUAGCAAAUUAAAAUCUCUGGACUUUUGGCCUGGGUUGUCAGCAGGGCCGCCAUCAGAAAAUUUGGGGCCCAUGACAAAGCACAAGGUCUGGGCCCCGCCCCCCCUCCUCCCGGGCCUGCCCACGCCCUACAUAGUCCGCUCACAAUGAUGCAGGACUGAAUGUGGUGUGUGUAUAGUGGAAGUGAAUUAGAAUGUGUGUAAUGGAUGUAGUGUUUGUGUGUAUUAGAUACUGUUUGUGCAGUGAAUGCAGAGUGUGUGUUUGUGUAGCGGAUGCAGUGUGUAUAGUGAACGCAGACUGUAUUUGAGUAGUGGAUGUAGUGUGUGUACAGUGAUGUAGUGUGUGUUUGUGUAGUGGAUGUAGUGUUUCUAUGUACUAGAUGAAAUGUGUUUAGUGGAUGCAGUGUCUGUAGUGUGUGUAUUAGACGCAGUGUCUGUGUAUAGUGAAUGCAGAGUGUUUCAAUUUGUGGUGGAUGUAGUGUGUGUACUGUGAAUACAGGAUGUUUGUGUAGUGGAUGCUGUGUGUACAGUUAAUGCAGAGUGUAUGUUAGUGUAGUGAAUGCAGAGUGUGUGUGUCAGUAUAGUGAAUCCAGAGUGUGUGCAUAGUUUAGUGAAUGCACAGUGUGUGUUAGUGUGUAAUGAAUGCAGAGUGUGUGUUAGUGUGUAGUGAAUGCAGAGUGUGUCAGUGUAAUGAAUGUAGUGUGUGUGUUAGUGCAGUGAAUGCAGAGUGUGUGUAAAUUUGUAGUGAAUGCAGAGUGUGUGUUAAUGUGUAGUGAAUGCAGUGAGUGUGUUAGUUUGUAGCGGAUGCAGAGUGUGUGUUAGUGUAGUGAAUGCAGUGUUAAUGUGUAGUGAAUGUAGAGAGUGUGUUAGUGUGUAGCGAAUGCAGAGUGUGUGUUAGUGUAGCGGAUGCAGAGUGUGUGUUGUGUUAGUGUAUGCAGAGUGUGUGUUGUGUUAGUGUAUGCAGUGUGUGUGUGUGUUGUGUUAGGGUAUGCAGUGUGUGUGUUGUGUUAGUGUAUGCAGUGUGUGUGUGUGUGUGUGUUGUGUUAGUGUAUGCAGUGUGUGUGUUGUGUUAGUGUUUGCAGUGUGUGUUGUGUUAGUGUAUGCAGUGUGUGUGUUGUGUUAGUGUAUGCAGUGUGGGUGUGUUAGUGUAUGCAGUGUGUGUUGUGUUAGUGUAUGCAGUGUGUUGUGUUAGUGUAUGCAGUGUGUGUUGUGUUAGUGUAUACAGUGUGUUGUGUUAGUGUAUGCAGUGUGUGUUGUGUUAGUGUAUGCAAUGUGUGUGUUAGUGUAUGCAGUGUGUGUUGUGUGUUAGUGUAUGCAGUGUGUGUGUUAGUGUAUGCAGUGUGUGUUGUCUGUUAGUGUAUGCAGUGUGUGUUGUGUGUUAGUGUAUGCAGUGUGUGUUGUGUUAGUGUAUGCAGUGUGUGUGUUGUGUUAGUGUAUGCAGUGUGUGUUGUGUGUUAGUGUAUGCAGUGUGUGUUGUGUGUUAGUGUAUGCAGUGUGUGUUGUGUGUUAGUGUAUGUAGUGUGUGUUGGUGUAUGCAGUGUGUGUGUUGUGUUAGUGUAUGCAGUGUGUGUGUUGUGUUAGUGUAUGCAGUGUGUGUGUGUUGUGUUAGUGUAUGCAGUGUGUGUGUUGUGUGUUAGUGUAUGUAGUGUGUGUUGUGUAAAUGUGUGAUCUGGGGGGGGAGGGGGAGGAAGGGGCAUUUUAACAUUAAUUUUUUAUUAAUUUAAUUAAAUGUUUCUCCCCCCUCCCUGCUUACCUGUGUCCAGGGAGGGGGGAGAUUCCAUCUGUGGUGGUCCGGUGGGGGCCCCCCCGGCUCCCUGUUACCGNNNNNNNNNNNNNNNNNNNNNNNNNNNNNNNNNNNNNNNNNNNNNNNNNNNNNNNNNNNNNNNNNNNNNNNNNNNNNNNNNNNNNNNNNNNNNNNNNNNNAAAUUGCCACGAGUUCUUGGAGGGGACUACUUGCCAGCCUUUUACCCUGUGACUAUGGCCCAUUUAAGUUACUGUGGUUAAAGAUACUAUUUUCGCCUGUUUGGGACUUUAAACAAUUGUUCUUCAAACUUCCGAACAGCCGGACCACACACAAGUGGAGUGUGCAGAGUAUUUACAUCCCAGGCUGGUAGUUAACUGCAGCCAAAUUGACGAAUUAAAUUUCUGCUUACACUCCAAAAAUGUGUGUCGUCCUGUUAUUGGAGGGAAAGAAGACUUGCUCCUGUGUCUGCUGUUCCAGCUUGCAGGAGAUUCAACGGGAAAGUCCUUGUAAGGACUAGAGCUAAUUCCCCAUUCGGCUCCAGGAAGGAGUGGUUCCAGGGCCCACGUCCAGCUACGGGGACUGUGGGCAGAAGUGCUGUGGUUUGUCCCCUGUUCCAGCUAGGAAGUGGUCCUUUGGCGGAGGUACCCAGCCGGGGUACAGCAAGCUCCACUACAAUAUAUAUAUAUAUAUAUAUUAAUAUCAAAAUUCAGUUAGAAUAAGAUUACAUAUAUAAUUAUAUAUAUAAUUUAAAAAAUUGUACAUUUAUUUAUUUAUUUUUAAUUAUUUUUUUAUAAUAAAUAUAUACAAUAUAUAUAGUUAUUAUAUAUAUAUUAUAUACACAUGUGUGUAAUUUUACUCUAAGUGUAUAUUUAUAUUAAUAUAUGUAUAUAAAAAAACAUACUUAGUAUGACGUUAGUAUAGGGGGUCAGGUUUUGCAGAGGGGCCCGGCAGUGAGGGGGGUACUGCAGUAUGCCCCGAUAUUGAGGCAUCGCUGCAAUACCAUUAGAGCGGCUGGAAGUAAUCAUGAUCACUUCAAGGGCUUAAAUUUGCAGCGGACGUAUCAGGUACGUCCGAGGUCGUUAACGACCAUUUUGUGUCGGACGUACCUGAUACAUCCUUGGUCACUAAAGGCAGGCCCGGACUGGGCAUUGGGCACACCGGGCAAAUGCCCAGUGGGCCGCGGUGGACAUGGGCCGAGGCCGGCAGGGGAGGCCCCGCUGUUUUCCAUGACGGGCCGGUGGGGAGAUCAAAGCUCUCUCUCUCACCGGCCCACUUGAAUAGACAUGCGGCUGGGGAGGGAGAGGAGGACCCGGCAGAGCUCUAUUUUGCAGCUCCGCUGGGUUCCUCUCGCGAGAUCAGGAGCGUUGCCAUGGCAACGCCCCAAUCUCGCAAGAGUGAACUCUAGCCCACAGGCUAGAGUUCACUAACCCAUAGGACCACCAGGGAUGGUGUGAGAGUGCCGUCAUCCACUCUCCCACCGGGUACCACCGUGCCGGUCCCCCCCUCCCAGGCUAAAGUUGUUUUAUUAGUUUUUUACCCCCCCCCCAAACACACAAUCCCUUCUAACAUUCACCCACAGCACCCUCACAAACAUCACUUUCAGCACCCUCACAAACAUUACUCUCACACACAUCACUCUCACACACAUCACUCUCACACACAUCACACUGUGCACUCUCACACACAACACUCUCACACACAUCACACACAUCACUUUCACACACAUCACACUCAGCACUCUCUCACACAUCACACACAGUACUCUCACAAACAUCACACUCAGCACUCUACCACACAUCACCUUCACACACAGCACUCUCACACACCUCACACACACCACCCUCACACACAAAUCACACACAUAGCAACCUCACACACAUCAGACACAGCACCCUCACACACAUCACACACAGCACCCUCACACACAGCACCCCUCAAACACAGCAUCCAUCACCCUCACACACAGCACUCUCACACACCUCACACACAAAACACACACACAGCACCCUCACCCACAGCACCCUCACACACAUCACACACAGCAGCCUCACACACAUCAGAAACAGCACCCUCACACACAUCACACAUAGCACCCUCACACACAUCAUAAACAGCACCCUCACACACACAUCGCACACAGCACCCACACAUCACACACAGCAACCUCACACACAGCACCCCUCAAACACAGCAUCCAUCACACACACAUACUGCACCCUUCACAUACACACUACACCCCUCACAGACACCCACUGCACCCCUCACACAUACACACAGAACCCAACACACUGCACCAAACAAACACACGCACACACAAUGCUUCCAAACAUAUUUAUAUUAUAUAUAUAUAUAUAUAUAUAUAUAUAUAUAUAUAUAUACUACAGCACCCCUCACAUACACUGAACCCCUCACACACAUACCGCACCUCUAAACACAUUACAUUCCAGACACACACUAGAUCCCUUACCCAACUCUGGAUCAUAUACACACACUAGAUCACUAUAUACACUCUGAAUCUGUUAUAAACACACACUCACUAGAUCUCCUACACAUUCUGGGUCCUUCAAACACACACUAGACUCCUGUAUACACACACUGCACCACCUACACACACUGCAUUCCUAACACACUCUGGAUCUCCUAAACACACACUAGAUUCCUUGUAAACAAACACAUACUACACCCCUAAACACACACUCUCUACAACCCCUACAAACACUACAUCACCUAUACACACACACACAUACUAUAGCCUGUAUGCACACACUUACUACAUCCCCUAUACACACAUUCUCUACAGCCCCUAGCCACAUAUGCAUUACAUUACACCAAAAACACAACACGACUAAAACCGACCAUAUUACACAAUACCACACCACAAUCAGUUCACUCUACACACACGCAAUCCCACAAGCAGGCUCCAAACACAUGCACAAUACUCUUUCCUGGCCCUUUUGUCUCCUGGUAUCCAUUUAUACCAUUGCUUGCACAGUGCAGAACAAAUACAGGGCUUUUUUUCUCAUGCUAGAGCUCUCUAGGUCUGCCCUGGAAGAGCAUUGAACCAACAUGCUCACUUUGAGAGGGGGCGUGUUUGUCAAUGGUGAUGACGAAAUCCUCUUCUUAGUGGGCCGCUGUGGUAAAAAAACGCCAGGGCCGAAUUUUUCUCCCAGUCUGGCCCUGACUAAAGGGUUAAUAUAGAGAAACUAUAGAGCUAACCUGCCACAUAAAUACAGAUUUAUAUAUAUCAACCUUAAUAACUUAGAAUCCAUUGGGUCAAAAAAUUCCAGUUUUGUUUAAUCACUCUACAGAAUGCUUAAACUUCUGUGGCUUAUUUAAAUUCUUUUGAGCACAUUGGAGCCGACUUUUCUUGUGCUUUUGGGUCAGUAUUGAUGUAUGUCUUGGUGUUCAAGCAUUGAAAGCUUCGGUGUGUAGUAUGUGCCUUAAUGUGCCUGUUACCACCAAGUUUUGUUGCAGGUGUUUUGCAGUCACUCAAGGAUUUUUCUGAACCUGCCUUCUCAGAAAUCUGGUUGCAGCCAUUGAUAGCUUACUUUUUCUACCCCAUCCAAGUAAUGUAACCACUGCUAUUUUAAAUUUGAACUUACAAACUAUGAUCCUAACAAUGUCUGUAGGAACAUUCAGUGCCUUCACUAACUUUUUGUAUCCUGUUCUUUGUUUGUGAAAGGCGAUGAUCGCGUCUCUUAACUUUGUGGACCAUUCUUUUGACUUAGCCAUAUUUCUAACAUGCAAUCAAAUGUGACACUCAAACCCCUAGCCAGUUCAGGUAUUUCAAGUGUUCCAGCUUAAGCACACCGAGUUUAACUAAUGAAGCCCUUGACUUGUUGCUUGCAACAACACCUGUUUUGCAUAUUUGUGCUUUUGUGAGGGAUUCUAUUAAGGGAGAUGAAUAAUUUUGAGACUGGAGAAGUCAUUAUAAGUUGCAUUUUCAGUCAGAUUUGGGAAACCCACUUGAAGUAUUCGUUGUGUUGAGCUAUUUCAAUUGAUUUUGUUUGUUUUGAUCAAUGUAAACAGUUGAAUGUCUGUAAAUGUUGACAAUAAACCUGAUUUUCAAUUGGGGGGUUGAAUAAUUUUGAAUACAACUGUAUUUAGAGUGCAAUGUCAUUACACAAUUUUCAGUUGCUUUUCACACUGAUCAUCGUUAUACAGUCUCUAUUCCUCACUUACAAACGUUACCCUUAUGUCUUCUUUGUUUAUCGUGCAUAUAAUUCAUGAGAAACACUCCAGUCGCAGCAGGUAAGCUUGCUCAGUUUGCCCCCUCCCAACCCCCUACUUACAAUUUAUGCUUCAUGUAUACAGUAACGGCACUCAGUUUGGUUAAACAUGCACUAGUCACCCGGGUCUUUGCUUGUCCUUCAAUAUAAUAGUUAGAAUAUCAUAGAGAGCUUGUUUUCUGAUAAUUUAGUUAUUGAUUACAAUUUAUGAUUUCUUACAUCAAAGGUUAUGGUACACUUCAAGUUUAUGGUACACUACAAGUUUCCUUUCAAAAGUUAGCUAUGUACCCUCUUUUAUGAUUACGCUUUAUUCUAGUUAAAUCUAUAGACACACAUUUUUUUUCUUUCUUCGUGUAUAUAGUUAUGGUAGCACAUUUUCUGUUUCCUUAAAAUACAAUAAAGGUUAAGCAUUUUCUGUUUCACAUUUGUUCUGCAUGCACGUGAUGAUUUUACAAACACUUUGAUCACACACUGUUAAGGUUGCAAAUUCAGUGGCCAGUUGAUAGAGUUAUGGUUAUACCUUAUAAACUCCCCAUGCUAUUAGAAUGGUCAGGUUGGUAUUCUCUUUCUAUGCAUACAAGUAUAGUUACACAUCUUUUGGAUAUGGUUAGGCAUUAUGGACUCCUCGGGUAUAGUUAUAGCCAGGGUUUUCACCAGUCAUGUAAGCAUUGUUCAGCAUGCAUCCAUGCUUAUGUUUUCUAUAUUGUGUUGAACCCAGAGGUUUUAUUACUCCAACAAUUAUUAUUGGUGCUAUUAGAUGUAGAUUUUUUUUUCUUACAGGUUUUCAGGUAUGGUUGCUACCUGCCUGCUUAAAUAGACACUAUAGUCACCAAAAUAAUUUAAUGAAGCAGUUUUGGCAUAUAGAUCAUGCCUUUGAAAUCUCACUGCUCAAUUCUCUGCCAUUUAGGAGAUAAAUUACUUUUGUUUCUGUCCAUGCGGCCCUAGCCACGUUUCAUUUUAAAUCAGAUGUUUUAUAUUUUUAAAGUUUUUAUCUCCUGCUCUUUAAAUUGAACUUUAAUUGUAUACAGGAGGCUCAUGUGAAGUGUAUCAUCUAAAUGAAGUUGUUAUGGUGCCAGAGGCCCACAGACUCACUUUACCUCAAGAAGUUACACCACUCUCGAUUGGUUAAACCCCAAAAUUGUCUCCAGCGCCAAUCUCAGCUCCCCCAUAGGCCGCAUUUGGGUUCUAAAAUGUCAUUUUAAAUUAGCUUGCAGUGCCGCUGGAGGAGUGAGGAGUGUAUCUGAGCAGGGGCGCGCUGAUUGACUGAGAGCAGUCAGCUGACACAUUCAGCCAAUCAGUGACUCUCCAUUCACAAAACUGGCUUGGAAAGAAACGUACCUUUUCCGGGCUGGUUUUGUGAAUGAGGAGUCACUGAUUGGCAGACAGGAUCAGCUGACUGCUCUCUGUCAAUCAGCGCGCCCCUGCUCAGCGACACUCCUCACUUCCUGAAACCAUUUCAGAAGCCGGAUGUUGCCUGGGGGGGGUGAGAUUGGCACUUGAGGCAACUUUAGGAUUAAACUAUUUAACUCCUUGAGGUAAACGUGAGCCCAGGGGACUCCUGGCACCAUCAUAACUUUAUAUGACAUUCCUAUGGAGCUUAAACUAUCCCUUUAACAGUGCAGGAGAUAAAAAAAAGCUAAAUAAACAGAAUUUGCAAUAAAGGAAGUAUAAACAUUAGAUGACUCUUUACAGGAAGUGUUUAGUAAGGCUGUGUAAGCCACAUGCAGGGAGGUGUGCCUAAAUGGUAAUUUAUCUCCAACAUGGCAGAGAAUUUAACAAAAGUGCUUUAACUCCUAAAUGGCAUAGAAUUGAACAGUGAGGCUACAGGAGCAUGAUCAAUACACCAAAACUGAUUCAUUAAGCUAAAGUUGUUUUGGUGACUAUACUGUCCCUUUAAUUGUCAAACAGUAUUUCAUUAGUAAUGUGCGUGUGCUUAUUAGUUCCUUAGUUAAUCUACAAAUAUAAUGAUUCCUAGUUUGAAAACAUUGCAUAGCAGAGAUGUUAUAUACUUAUAUUUUCUUGUUCCACCUUCUUGUUCACCACAUGCGGUACACUUACAGUUGAUAGGUUUGUAUAACAGUUUCAUUCCUACUAUGCCUUUUCAGUAGCAUUCCAGUAUUAUAAUUUUACAUCUGCUUAUUUAUUGUUUGUUAAUCUUGUACUGUGUGUUCUUACACCCAUCAUGUUUACACUUACCCAUGUAAUGUCAUGUUUCUCAUGUACUUGGAAACCAGAGAAUAUUUGAAUUUACCUUUCCUGAUUAAACACUUUGUUAUUAUUAUCUUCCUUAAUUUGUGUUAAUUGUUUUAUUACACUUGCUAAGGUUAUACCUAUAGGCUAUAGGUUACUUUCCAUUUACAUACAGAUGUAGGUCACUUAUCAUGCAUUAGCUAUUGAGAUGUUUAGUAGUGUUCUCUAAGAUUGUCUUUUAUAGUUACUCGAUUAUGGCUACUGUUGUUAUGGGCAUGGGCCCUCAUUCACAGGUCAUGCAUUGUGGGCACUUAUGCCAUGCAGGUCAUAGUUUCUUCUAUCAAAGAUCAUAUGCUCAUAUCAUUGACAGGCCUUAUGCCAAGCAGGUCAGGACUUUCUCUGUCACUGGUCAUGCGCUCAUGAAAUUUAUGGGAUUCAUGCCAGUAGGCCAGAGCUAGCUAUAUCAAAGGUCACGUGCUCAAAUAAUUUACAGACCUUCUGCCAGACAAGUUGCAGCUUCCUCUAUCAGAGGUCACACUCAUGUUAUUUACCAAAGUUCUGACAGUUGGGUCAAAGCUUCCACAUCAGAGGUCAUAUCCUCAUGUUAUUUACAGACCUUAUACAAAGCUGACAUGAGCUUCCCUAUCAGAGGUCAUUUACAGCCUCCCAGCUUGCCAUAGAAUCCAGCGUUGCAAUUUAAUUAUCUACGUAAAUGAAUUCAGAAUUAGUAAUAAGGUUGGAAGAUAUCUAAAAGUAAGGACAAAAGCUGGUUUAACAUGAUAGUAUUUCAUUGUGCUAUGUUUAAAUAUUUUGUUUUUCAUUUGCCUUUUUGGUAAUAUGCAAGGUACAAUUUUUGGCGGCUAGGGGUGCACUCAGGCAACAAGUUCCAAGAUCUGUGAAUUAAAUAUGUUAUUUCUCUUGUAAGUCCCCUCAAAUGUUAUGUUGUUUCAAGCAUAGCCACAUCAUUAGGUUAUAUACCACUGAGGUAACCAACACUCGUUUGAAGGAUUAUAUCAGUAACACAGUUCAGCUAUGAAUUUUUGAAUAUUGACAUUUUAUGUUAUGAUAUUCAGCUUGUAGUGGAUUGUAUUGAGGCUGUCCUUAGGAAUUCGUAUUGAAAAUGUAUUUGGGUAAUUGUUUUCCUGUAUGUUUGUAAAGUGUAUGUAGUUUUUGUAUGAUUGUUCGGUAGUUUCAUAUAAAUGAAACUACCGAACCAUCAGACCACCCCUGUGAGAAGUGUGCGCCUCGUUAAGCGUUCACACUCUGCAAACUGCAGCUUAAUUGAUACAUUGUAUGUGCCUGUGUGGUCACCGUUCGGCAUACGAACCACGUGCGGCGGCCAUCUUACGCAUGAAAAUCUCAGCGGUGUUUGGUCGUCGAGUGUCUGGAACUCAAAUCGGACACUCAAACAACCAGGGGCGGACUGACAGGUCGGGCACUUCGGACGUGGUCCGAGGGCCCGGCCGGGAGGGGGGCCCGCCACCAGGGCCGCCAUCACGGGGCCCGGCGGCAGGGCUGGAUUGGGGGCGGCAUCUGGGGACUGCAGAAGGUGUCCGGCCGCGUUUCAUGCUGGAGCCACCGGGCCGGGUGGCAGCCACGCCGGUCCGGCGGCACUCCUCUCACUAAUGCUGAGGACGGAAGGAGGAGGAGCAUGUCUCUCUAUCAUGCUCCCUGCGGUUCCCACAAUUCCCAGCACAGAAUGUGGGAACCGCAACGGAGCAUGAGGGAGAGACAUGCUCCUCCCUCCUUCCGUCAUCAGCAUUAGUGAGAGGAGUCCCGCAGGACCGGCGAGGCUGCCACCUGGCCCGGCGGCUCCAGCAUGAAACAUGGCCGGCCCCCUGUGUCUCAAGUCAGAGAAAGAGGGGGAAUAGAGAGAUGGAGAGGGGGGGAGAAAGAGGGGGGGAAUAGAGAUGGGGAGGGGAGAAAGAGAGGGAGAAAGAGGGGGGGAAUAGGAGAGGAUGGGGAAGGGGGAGAAAGAGAGGGGAGAAAGAGGGGAAUAGAGGGGGGAGAAAGAGAGGAAGAAUGAGAAGGGAGGGGAAUAGAGAAAUGGGGAGGGGGGGAGAAAGAGGGGGGAAUAGAGGAAUGGGGAGGGGAGAAAGAGGGGAAUAGAGAGAUGGGAGGGGAGAAAGAGAGGGAAGAAUGAGACACAAGGGAGAAAGAGGGGGGAAUAGAGAGAUGGGGAGGGGGGAGGAGGGGAAUAGAGAGAUGGGGGAGUGGGGGGAGAAAGAGAGGGAAUGAGACACAGGAGAAAGAAGGGGAUGGGGAGGGGAGAGACAGAGAGGGAAGAAUGAGACACAGGGAGAAAGAGGGGGAAUAGAGAGAUGGGGAGGGGGAGAAAGAGAGAGGAAGAAUGAGACACAGAGGGAGAAAGAAAGAGAGAGGGGAGUUAGGAGGGGAGAAAGAGACACAGGGGGAGAAAGAGGGGGAAUAGAGAGUUGGGGGAGGGAGGAUAAAGAGAGGGAAGAAUGAGACACAGGGGGAGAAAGAUGGGGAGGGUGGAGAAAGAGACAGAGAGGAAGAGAGAUGUAGGGGAGAGAGAGACACAGAAAGGGGAAGAAAGAAACAGUGGAAGAGAGAGAGACAGGGAGAAAGGAGAGAGACACACAAGGGGAGGGGGAGAAAGAGACAGAGGGGUAAGAGAGACUGGGAAGGAGAGGGGAGACAUAGACACAGGAGCAGUGAGGGAGAGAAAGAAACAUACAGAGGGACGGGGGCAGACAAAAAGGCACACAGAAGGGCUGUACAUAUCACUGGUGGAUCCAGGGGGGCAAUUGUCCCCCCUGCCACAGGCACCGUGCGGGCAGCCGGCAGGGGAGGGAGGAAAAGAGGACCUGGGAGCUCAGCCUGCAGCUCCUCUGGGUCCUUCUUGCGCGAGCACAGAGCAUUGCCGCGGUUACCAUGGCAACGUUACCGCUCUUGCGAGAGUCAACUCUAGCCCUGGAGCUACGGGCUAGAGUUCACUCUCAACACUGUAACCCCCAUGGAUUCCUGGUGGUCGCAGUGGUGAGAGUGAACUCUAGCCCCACAAACACACUGCCCCCACACACACACCAUACACAUUCACACACUGCCCCCACACACACACCAUACACAUUCACACACUGCCCCCCAUACACACAAACUGCCCCCCAUACACACACACUGCCCCCACAUACACCAUACACAGGCCUACAGCAAGCCACAGGCUUACAGCCAACAAGCCCACAGCCUACCAGCCGCAGCCAGCAAGCCGCAGCCAGCAAGCCCACAGCCUGCCAGCCGCAGCCAGCAAGCCCACAGACUGCCAGCCAGCAACAGUAAUUAAGUUAAGAGGAGCCAACUUGGCCUAGGUAUCACGAGCUAUGUUGUUUUGCUAUAUUGUGAAUAGGAACCAGAGUGUUGGAGAGACCCCCCUCCAGGCCCCAUUAGACUCCAUUGUAGUCUCUAAUGGGGCCUGGAGGAGAUUCUUUCUAACACACUCUCUAAAGGACACUGAGAUAGCCUCUGCUAGAAUGACCCCCCCCUCCAUGGCCCAUUAGCCCUCAAUUGUAGUCUCUACUGGGGCCUGGAGGCAACUGCUUCCAGCAGGGGCUAUCUAAUGGACGCUGAGAUGGCCUCUGUUAGAAAGACCCCCUUCCAAGCCUAUUAGACUCCAUUGUAGUCUCUAAUGGGGCUUGGAGGGGAUUGUUUCUAAUACACUCUCUAAAGGACACUGAGAUAGCCUCUGCUAGAAAGACCCUCCUCCAUGGCCUAUUAGCCCUCAAUUGUAGUCUCUAGGGAUUAUUGCACUUUUGUUCCUUGUGUCUAAAGAUUGUGUAGGGUGUGGAUAGAGGCGGGACAAGGGUGGCGCUUGCUGCGGAGUAUGGGUGAGGCCUGUAAGGGGGCCCUUGAUUUAUUUUGCCUUAACUACAGUGAUACACACACAACCACACACAUAAACACAGACAUAAACACAGACAUACACAAUCACAGACCCACACACAUACAAUUACAAACACACAUAAUUAGAUAUACACACGCAUACAUCACAUACAUGCAUACAUGCACACAUUUAAUAAUUAAGCGGUCCACCCAGCCUCCCUACUUUGCUCUGGGAGGGCUAGAGUGGAUCCUCAGUCCCUGGUAGUCAGUGGUUGCUGCUGUGAUCUCUGUGCUCUUCAUGCACACGUCUCUUGCACAUCCUGUAAUAUGAUGCCGAUGCUUGGAUGAUGUUAUGUGCCAACUCACUGCAGGGCGAAGACAGUCAGAUACAGUCAGAUGUACACCGUACCAAACACAUAGUCACUUGCACACUGUCAAACGCACAGCUGCAGGUAGACAGUAACACACACAGUUACAGACAGACAGUCACACACACACAGCUACAGGCAGACAGUCACACACACACACAAUUACAGGCAGACUGUAACAUAGUUACAGGCAGCACACAGUCACACACACUCAGUGACAUGCAGACAGUCACAGGCAGACAGUCAUACACAGUCCCAGGUAAACAAUCACAGGCAGACAUUCGUACAUACUGUCACAGGCAGACAUUCACAGGCAUAGACAGUCACAGUCAUACAGUCCCAGAUGCAGUCCCAGGUAGACAGUCACAGGCAGACAUUCACACACAGUCACAUACAUUUACUGGGAGACAGUUAUAGAUGCAGUCACAGGCAGACAAACACACAGUCACAGUCAGAGAGUCACAGGCAGUCAGUCACAGACACAGUCACAGGUAGACAGUCACAGGCAGACAUUUACACACAUAGGCACAGGCAGACAGUCACAGACGCAGUCACAGGUAGACAGCCACAGGCAGACAUUUACACACACAGGCACAGGCAGACAGUCACAGACGCAGUCACAGGUAGACAGCCACAGGCAGACAUUCACACACACAGUUACAGAUAGUCACAGGCAGACAUUCACACACACAGUCACAGAAAGUCACAGGCAGACAUUCACACACACAGUCGCAGAUAGUCACAGGCAGACAUUCACACACACACAGGCAGACAGUCACAAGCAGUCUUUCACACACACACACUCUCUCUCUCUCUCUUACUUACUGGUGGAGGAGUGGAGUCAGUGAGUCCCUGGUGUGUUGGAGUUGGGGAAGCAGUGACUCCUUCCUGCUUCCCCUCAGUGUGCUGCAGUGAAAGGCAGCAAAUGGAGGCUGGCUGUAGCUCCGCCUCCGCAUCUGGUUUGGCUCUGCCUCCACGGCCGAGUUGGCUCCGCACCCAAUUCUCCGUGCAGUACUUCUGUACUGCUGAAUUCCCAGCCCCUGCAUGUGUGAGCUGUGUGGCUCCAGGCGCCCUGAGCAGCCACACAGCUCACAGAGUCACAAACCUGGCCAGCCCUGGAGGCACCCCCCUACCUGGUGGCACCCCCCCUAACUGGUGGCACCCCCCUAACUGGUGCCACCUGGGGUGGACUGCCCCCCCUUAGUACGCCACUGGUCAUUGGAACCAAUAUGGGCCAGGUCAUCCCCAGCCUCUCCUAAUAAUGCAUCUACUAAUGCUGAGCCCAUGCACCCCGGAGACAGCAAACUUGAGGUUGAGGCAUUCAGAGCAGCAGAUAACCAUGUCUACUCUAAGCUUGACAAUUGCCUCCGUCCUUAACGAGUUAAAGAAGCAAUAUUACACUAUUGUGAUGUUUGUUCUUUUCCCUAUAAGGUUUAUAACUGCAUAAUAAAUAAAACAUCUAUGACCAGUAGAUCUGGUGAUCUGCCAUUUUUCAUUUCAUUUUUGUGGGUGCAUUGCUAUAAGAAUUGCCAAAUUUUGUUUGAGUCCAUGGUUUGGACAUGUGCUAAUUUCCAAAACUAGAAAAUGGAAUGAAACCAAAUGGACUUUUGGAUCCAUUAAUUUUCAUUGUAUGUAGUAAACAGUGGAAGGGAAUUAUGUGUGGUAGUCUGGGCAAACCAGCUCAUUCUUUUUUGUGCGAUGUAAUGGUUGCCCAAAUAGUUUUCUAUAUUCCCAGUUCAAUGAAAUUAGUUCCUUUUUGAUGUUAGAGGACAGUUAGUAAAUAGUGUUUUUUGGCCAAUAAAGACAAGCAGAGGGAUGGGUGCUCUUCUGAGACCACAAAGAAGCCACUGUCCAGUACUCGUCAGCUGGUUCAUGUUCCUCCCCCCAGAACCACCUGCACUCCACUACCUCCAGGUAUUACCUUGCAUGUUUUAUAGUAGCUGAGCAAUUUCAUUAAAGCCUGUUCCCCGUUGCCAAUUCAAGUAGCCUAAGAAGAAGAUAUUGGAAUUAGAGGAGGAAAAUGCUUCUAGUGCCACAACCUGCUUCUGCUUCUGCCACCGACUCUAAUAGCAGCAGCAGUACAAUUACCACUACUACUACGAGUACAAAAGAAGAUAUUCUAAUAGUUUCUAGUAGCCAGAGAGACAGGGAAUCCAUAGUAAGCGUCCCUAGUCUUCAGCUUAGCUGAGGGUAAUAUAUAUCUGCUUCCACUAUGGUGGCAAAGUUUAAAAAAAACUAAAGUGUAUACACCCAGGGACAGUUUAAUGAUUUUUUACACCCUUGAAAAAAAAAAAAAAACAAUUCAAUCCACACUGAAUACGGUAGAGUUCUUAGUAGCUCAAAAAAAGUGUGAGUGUACCUUUGUUAUUUUUAAAUAUGCUAUAUUAAGACAUAUUACACUAUACCUGUGUUUUGCUUUUUUCUCUCUCUUUUUGAGAUAUCUGAUACCAUACAGAAGCAAAAUCAAGUUCAAUAUAUGUGUAUGUAUAUGUUUUUUUAUUGUAUCAUUGCACUUUAAGGUUACCUGUUUUUAGACAUGGUUUACCUACCUUUCGGUUUUUAUCUUCACAGCAAUAAUAUUCACAUCAAUGAGAUGACAACCCCACCCCUGGCCACACACACACUCAUACCCCUAAGAUUAGUGUCACUCUUUGUCCAUUUCAAAUAUACACUUGCAAUCCUCAUCAUGUGCUCUUGUAUUACAAAACCCUAGUUGAGAUCAUGGAGAUGUCAAUGGAAAUCAUGCUAGAAAGGUAAAUUAUAGAGAAGUUCUGUAUGCUGUAUACCUACAAAACAAAUGUAUAAAUUAUUGUUCUUUUUGGUCUAUCUCAGACUGAAAAAUUGUGUAAUCUCAGUUAAUGUUUUGUCAAGAGGAAAAAAAAUCAGCAUGAAUACGAACAUUAAAGUGGUAAUAUCUGAGUUCCCAGCAAGUUCUCUCAUUUUUAUUCCGAGAUGUUUUCAAAAACUGUUUCCAUUUCCCAUGGCUUCUUAGCUUCUUAAUCCCAGUCAAGAGAGAUAGAAUUCCAUUACAUCUUCUUAAGAAGAAUAAAGAUAAAAAAUGACAACAUUUGCAUUAAUUUACAUUAUAUCUUAAUGCGAAUUUAUAUCAAGAUUCUAAACAUGUUUCAGAGACUGGAAGUAGGUCAACAUUAAACUAAUCUGUAUAAAAUAAGCAAAUGUAUUUCCAGGUGUUUAGAUCAUCAGUCCCAAAUAGGUGACUUGUGAUAAAAGCGUUAUGUUUUACAUGCAUGCAAAAUAGGUUAUUUUGAGCCAUAUGCAUAUUUAUUAACCUAUAUAUAUUAACUUAAUGCAGCACAUCUGAAGCACCAAAUAAACAUUUAAAUUGUAUUAAAGGGACACUAUAGUCACCAAAACAACUUUAGCUUAAUUAAGCAGUUUUGGUGUACAAAUCAUGCCCCUGCAGUCUCACUGCUCAAUUCUCUGCCAUUUAGGAGUUAAAUCACUUUACUUAUGAACCCUAGUCACACCUCCCUGCAUGUGACUUGCACAGACUUCCAUAAACACUUCCUGUAAAGAGUCAUCUAAAGUUUAUCCUUCAUUUAUUACAAGUUCUGUUUAAUUUAGAGUCUCUUAUCCUCUGCUAUGUUAAUAGCUUGUUAGACCCUGCAAGAGCCUCCUGUAUGUGAUUAAAGUUCAAUUUACAGAGAAAUAGAUACAUUUGUUUAAGGUAAAUUACAUCUGAUUGAAAGUGAAAUCUGUUUUUUUUUUCAUGCAGGCUGUGUCAAUCAGAGCCAGGGGUGGUGUGACAAGGGCUGCAUAAACAGAAACAAAGUGAUUAACUUCUAAAUGGCAGUGAAUUGAGAAGUGAAACCUGCAAAGCAUGAUCUAUACACUAAAACUGCUUCAUUAACCUAAAGUUGUUUAGGUGACUAUAGUGUUCCUUUAAAUACAUAUUAGUUUUCAAAAUUCUUCCCACUGUACAUAACAUUAAGUACUACAUAUAAAAUACAUAAAUAUGCACAUAAAUACAUUAUAUAAAAAUAUUUUUAUUUAGGAAAAACUGUGUUGUGUAAAGGUUAUUGCUCCAGUAUUCUUACAGAAUACUUCUCUAUGGUUAUUUACCAAACAAAGAAUUUUAAGGAAUUUUACAUAAGAAGACUUCAUAGUUGGACAGAAACUAUUAAACUCUUCUUAUCUUUAUUUAUUUAAGAAAAUAAGUUAAGGUAUUGGAAAAUGAGCUGGAUAAAUCAAGGAACUCCUUUGGGCACCAUAAAAAUUGCAGAUGUUAGUGCAUUUUUUCGUGCAUUUUUUUCUCACAACUUUGUGAAUAGGAAGCUAGUGAGACCCGUCUGGGGAUUCCUCGUUGAAUACUAAAAAAAAACACACAAAAGUGCUAUAUACAGAAAACAAAUAUGUGAAAAAAGUAAACAAAACUUAACUUAAUAAUGUUACAGCUUCCCUAGGUAACCUUCCCAGAUAGGUACCAUACAAAUCACUGAAUAUAGUGAAUAUAGAAAAAAAAAAGGUAUAAUAACAGUGUGGGUAUAAAAGAAACUUCUUACCCUCUCGUUAGUAUCAGAAGCCAAAAGGAACAGGAGCAGGAAUCAGGUAAACAAAUUUACUUUAUUUGGCAAUAAAAAUUGAUAAAGAUAAAAUUGUAAGUCCGGUCCUAUGCGUUUCGUUCUAUAACAAGAACUUCCUCAGGGACCUUAUAUAAUAAAACAAACAAGUAAUAUGCAGUAAAAAAAAAAAAGCCACCUUAUUCCCACCCUCCAAAGUUCCCUAUAUAUAGGUGCCCGUUAACCUGAUCAUUGAUCGCGUAGUAGGUGUUACCUUGGAUCCGAAUCAACUGUUUUCAAUCUUGAUCCCGCAAUGAUCCCAUAGUGAUAGCUCAAAAUCCCAGUAAUAUAUUUUACCUUUAGUGUUGGUAUAUAUGGCCUAUUUUCAGUAAUGGUAUUGAUGGUGGACCCUGUAUACACUAUAUACAAAAUACAACAUAGUGCGUACUGUUGUAACCAAUAUACAAUAUUGGUAGCGAAAAAGGAAGAAAAAUCUGUCCCUGAUUGAGUAUAUAGAAAGGGGUAAUAGCCAGAUGUGCUUCUAAAAAUCUCGAAGAUAUUUUAUUGUGGAGACCAAAAAACGCACAAUAAACAGACAAAAACCCUUGCUGUGACUACCUGACUCAACAAAGGUCAAUUGCAGUAGUCUACACAAAGAGCACAAAUAUGCAGGGUUAAGGGGGUGAGGGAUAACACAUACAAGUGAAAAGAUAAACUGAUUUAGUACAAAUAGCUAUAACAGUAUUUUGCAGUGUAUCAAAAAUAUAUCUAGUACACGGAAAUGUAUCCAAAUUGUAUCGUUAAGCUAGUGUCAUAUGCUGAGCAAUCAGCCAAAACUCAGUAUGGUGAUUACGCCUUUCUAUAUACUCAAUCAGGGACAGAUUUUUCUUCCUUUUUCGCUACUAAUUUCUCUAGGGUUACCCCCUUAUCUGUUCCCUCAGACUUCUGGAUAUCUAUCACUUGGCCAACUAUUCUUUAUCCAAUAUACAAUAUUGUGAAAAGAAAAAGGUGCACUCACAAUUGAAAAAUAACGGAACAAAUGUUGAUGAUAAGUUGAGAAUGGACUUCCUUUGAAUAAAACCCUAAACAAUUCUUAUAAAAAAUAUCUCCACAUUCAACCCAUUUGGUUCCAGUGUCUGCAGCCUAUGUAUCCAGUAUGUUUCUCUUUGGGAUAAUUUUUUAAUCCUUUCUCCUCCUCUCCAAUUAGGGAGGACUUGUUCAAUACCCAAACAUUUAUAUUGUUUAAUAUUGAAAACUAGACAUGACAUACAGUGGACUGGAACCAAAUGGGUUGUGAGUCAUUUUCUAAUGUUGUUAAUAUGCUCCAUAAUUUAAACAUUUAAUGAUCUUUUAGUGCAUCCUACAUAUUGUUUACCGCACAGACACAGCAGUAAAUAAACAACAAAGUUCGUGUGGCAGCCAAUAUCUGUACGAAUAGGGAACUCCUCUUCUGUGGUAAAAAUACUAAAAGUAGUAAAACAUUUUCAUUGAUACAGAAAUACAUGCCCUGCAGCUCUGACAUCCAUUGAAACCUUUCUUUAUGAUAAUUAUUUUAAUCUAGUUUCUUCCCCGUGAUGUAACUGGGUGCUAGCAUGAUUUUCAAAUUUAGAUUUUUCUUAUAUAUCAUCAAUGGAUGUUGGGGCAACAUGUUCCCCACUAUAGGGUCAUUCAAAAGUAUAGACCAAUUUUUUUUUUAUAGUUCUUUUUAUUUCCCUAUGAUGAGCAUUGAACCUUGUCGUGAAAGCACAUUUAAAGGGUUCACUUUCCCUGCUAGGAUUGACAUUGGUUGACCUCUAUCUGUGCUUGUCAUAAUUCUAAUCUUUUUUUCUAUUCUAUAUACUAUACUAUCUUGCUCAUUGAAGCCUAUGGCAUUGCCGGAAACCAAAGAGGAAGCCAUUUGUUAAAGUAAGGCAGUGCUAACUUCAUUGAGAUGACAUUGUUAUGGUGACUGUUCUUUAUUAUGGAGGAUCUAACAUCUACUUGAUAGAAAGUCAAACUAAAACAAAACCGUAAUAUUUCUUGCCAACUAUGGAGUUCAUGUUAAGGUGAAGGCAAUAUGAGAAGAGGGGAACAAGUGAGGGAUGGGGAGAAAGAAAAGGUGAACAAGUGUGGGAAAAGGGUACAAGAAGAUGGAAACAUUUGGAAAAUGGAAGUGUUAACGGGCUCCUCUGCAUAAUUGGCGAAAUGAGGAAGGGAACAUAUGCAAAGGCGAGAUUAAUUAAUAAAGUGGUUUGGGGAGAGAUAAAAAGGGACAGAUAAGAAAUGGGAACACAGUGCACAAACAAACUUAUACAUCCACAGGCAGAUAAUUCCACAUCCUUAUUGAUCGUACUGUAUACAAAUCCCAUUCAUUUGCUUUAAACUAAAUCUCCUUUCUUGCAGUCUAAAUGUGUGACAUUGUGCCCUAUGUGUUUAUUAACAGAGUCAUACCACAAACUACUUACAUUCAUCUAUCCAAUCACAUACCCCAAACUAAUCAUAUUCAUCCAAUGACAUACACCAAGAUUAAUUGUGGAAACUAACCUUGGGGUAGCAGAGAGGGUAAAUCUGGCCCUAGUAAAGUCUAGUGCUCAGUACAGUGACUGAACCAUGGUCCAUUGCAGGAGUGUCCCAAGCUCAGUUGACUAGCUGUAUUAUUAAGAUUGUACACUGCUUUCAUGUAGCUAAAAUUGCAAGAACCGUCAUAUGCGCCAUAAUACUCACAGCCAGGUUCUCUGUAUUACCUAAUGAAGGUGUGGGGAAGAAUAUAUAUAUACAUUCUAUAACUAAGCUAAUAACCAAUGUACAUGUUAUGACUAAAGGCCAAUAACAUUAAUUACAGGUAAUAAUUAUUACAUUUUGGGGUCAUUUUUGCAGGUAAAUAACCAUAAUUACAAUGUUGCUUGAAUAUGUGUGACUUAUCAAUAAUAUCCAUUUGCUGCAUUCCUCAGUGAGCUAACCACUAUUUGUCCAGUAGAAAUUAAUUAACAAUUCUAUGUGUUAUCUUGACCAUCUCUCACAUGUUUGAGCAAGUACACUGAAUAAUGUUGACCUGAAUUUACGUAUUGCAAACCAAAGAAACAAUAACAGAGAGUGGAAGAAAGAAACACAAACAGCUUUUCGUAACUCUUAUGUGACAAAUUGUAAUAUUUAGCACAGAGUUUAAAAACAUGUUAUAUAGGAAACAAACAAAUGAUCUGAAAGAUUAGAAUUUGAUAUGCAAAUAGCUGUAGCUGUGAUGAGAAAACAAGUUUGGAAAUCUAAAUGAGCACGCAUUCAUAAGGAACAAUAAAUAAUACAAUGCAAAACAUUUCGAAUUUAAGCUAUUUAAGCAAGAUUUGUGAUUUCACAGCACAUAUACAGUGAAAUGUGUUUUCAUGCUUAUUUUGCAUAAAGUAAUAGAUUCCAGCUGUGCUUAUACAAAGGCAUUCUCUAGUAAGAACAUUCAUAUUAAAAACAGAAAACAGUACUCUUGAAUCUUAAAUGAUGUAAGCAGUGAAAACAUUUACAGACUUGUGGCUGUGGUAGCACAAUGAGUGUUAACACUAAACUAAACAAGAUACAAUAGCAUCAUGCUGCUAUGAGAGUAUGUCCAAUAUCACAAAAUAUCAACUUCUUUUAAGCAACAUGGCAUAUCUCACUACUCCAGUGUCCAGAGAAUCAGUAUGCCGGUGGGAGAGAGUGGGACAAUGACAAUAUUGCAUCAAGGUCAGUCUUGCAUGAAGGCAGGCCACGCUACCUGUUCAUUACACAGGCCGGCCAACUAAGGGCAGAUUUUUAAAUUAUCUUAAGGUCCCUGAUGCUUGUGUUUCUUGUCCCCUCUUUUGAAUGUCUUACCCCCUUUAGUGUAUCUUCUUCCCCUUUAAUGUAUCGUAUCACCUCUUUUGUGUGUCUUACACCCCCUUGUGUUCCCUUGAUUAUCCCACCAGCCCCUUUGUUUAAUUUGUUCCUCCCAACCAGCCCCUUUGUGUGGGUAUCUCUCCAUCCCUAGCCCCAUUAUGUGUCUAUUCCUCUCAUCCUAGCUCCUUGGUGUGGCUCUUCCUCCACCUCCAGUCCCUUUGUGUGGUUCUUUCCCCACUCCAGUCUAUUGAUGUGGCUCUUUUUCCCCCACAGUGUUUUUGUGUGACUUUCCAUCCUUUUGGUGACUCUUUUCACCCCUCUAAGCCCGUUUGUGUGACCCAUUACCCCUCCAGAUAUUUAUAUGUAUAUUUCUUUUCCCCAGCCCCAUUGUGUGGCUAUUUAUUCUCCUAGCCCCUUUCUGUGUCUUGUUCUCCCCUCAAGCCCCUGUAUGUGUCUCUUUCACCCGUACCCCUUUGUAUGGCUCUUUUUUUAUCCAAAGCUCUUUUCCAUGGCUCUUCCUCCUCUCAGCUCCUUUGUGUGGCCAUUUAAACCCCAACUCGUUUGUGUGGCUCUUUCUCCCCAAAGCUCCUUUGUGUAUCUCUUUCUCCCCCCACUCUGCCUGUGUGUUUGUGUGUCUUUUUCUAUCUUUUUUUUUCUGUGUCUCCUUUGAUCCCAUUCUCCCCCUUCCCAUCGCCCUCUCUUUCACAAAAUGGUGUCAGGAAUAUAUUGAUCCAGCACGCAGAAUAGUAUCACGUCGUCUUUACCGUGGACGGAUGUGGGGCUAUAUAAUUGCGUGGGUCCGCAGCAGCCAGCGUGCACCGACAUGCCACACAAGCCAGGCAUCAUGGCAGAAGACCGCCGAGCGGGACUCCCCUCGAUCUUCGGAAGGUUAUUAUCUCAGUUUUUGCCACAUGGAUACGCUGAUACGUGAAACUGGUCUGUAGACAGGUACUGCGGCUUGGAGUGAUCGGCAGAAAGAGAAUGCUGUGCACUCUCCUAAAGCAUUGCAAAAGCUAGUAAGGUGCUUUUGUGUAAAAAUGCAUAUUUUACAAAUGUAUUUUAUUUUACAAAUAUAUAGAAGCUUGGUUUCUAGCGCGUAUCCUUGAGGUAGAAAGGCAAGCUGAAACACCCAAACCAGAGUCUCUCAAUUCUGGUCCAAUACAUAAAUUAAGUAGAGAGUGUAGCUUCUUGAUGUAUUUCUUGAGUUAGGUGUAGUAUCAGAGGUAGUGGGAUAUGCAAAAACAGAAGCAUACAGCAGAAUAUAUUGUAGUAUAUCUUGCGUAAAGUAAGAAUAUAACAAACGGGGGGCGGGGACCGGAGCAGAUGCCAUUUCACUGAGCUCUGAGAAAAUUAUACCAAACCUGCUAAAUAUUAAGCGCAUCACAUUGUAUAACAGGUCUCACAUACCACCGCUGAUUGCAGAGCAACUUGCCUGCACUGCAGAUGCAAAAUCUAUGCCGAGGUGGCAAGGCCUACCGCGUGGGUGGACAGCAGCAGGACAUCGCAGGAGGGCUCUGACCGUGGUAUACUCUGGGACUGGAAGACCAGCAACCCGACCCGCACAGAACAGGUGAGAUGGGUCGAAGAUCCCAAAAACCCCACACACCUCGAAGCCACAGCGCAACAUAGGCCAAAUGCUACAGACGCCUAGCGCGAUGCAGGCCCCUGUUUCCCCAAGAGGCCUCACCUUUGCCCUCAGAAGAGGGAGACCCCCAUGACAGCCAUCUACCAAGUCCCUAACACUAAGAACCCUCGCUGGGAGCAAAGGACUGCACCCCUGCCACUAAAAGGGAUAUACAAACUAUUCUGGCAGGUCUCCAACACAACCUUAAACAGAUGUGGGAAACACUCCUGGCGGUGCCCACUACAGAGGUGCAGGCCAUGGCCGCUGGCACUCAAGCAACUGAAGAAGUAGUUAUAGACCUGAAACAAGGCCUCCACAAGCUGGGUGACACGAUAAACAGGCAAAUUUGUCCAGACAAGUAAAUCUACUAGACGACAGGGGCAGAUGAAAGAAGAUUAAAAUCAGGGGGGUCCAGGAGUCAGUGUCGUUGGAUGAACUUUAUUUGGCGCCUAGUGGCUGCAGUAUUGCCAGCGAGACAGGCUAAAACCUCCAAUCUCCAAGUCGCCACAGGCGCUUAACGCAGCUCCACGGGACCUCAUUCUAUGGUGCCAAACAACGUUGGAUAAACUUGGGCUGUUGACGGCACUUCACGGAAAGACUCCCUAUGAAUUUGAGUCAAGCCGACUCUCCUUUUUCCAGGACUUAAGCAGGGCCACGAUUAUCUGGCGCAAAGAAAUGCAAUCGUUUACUAAACCACUCCAUACAGCAGGGAUCACCUACAAAUGGGCGACUCCUAGAGCCUUAUGGGUGACAAAAGAUGUAAAAAACUACUAGGCCACAGACCCCAAAGAUGGCCCAACUUUAAUGGCGGCAUUGGGACUCUCCAACCAAAACAACUCUUCAGCGCAACAACCCUGUCCCCAAUCCUGGAAUGCAGUAAAAGGAGCUGUCUUCAUGCCCAGAGAAAAAAGAAGCACCACGACUUGACUCAAAUCCCACCAACUGUUGUCUUUCGUUUGAUCUCUCUGUUUUUUUUAAAACAGCUUACUUUUCAAAUGUGUAAGUUUCUGUUCGUGUAAAAUUAGAUGUUAAAAUUACCAGGCUCGCUGUCCAAUAAAUGAGAGCAACCCCUCCCGAGGUCGAUCUCACCUGCUCUGGUGACACCCCCCAACCCUAAGGUACUGGGGAACUGUUUACAAAGGAGCUACCUGUUCCUAAUAUGUACCGAGCAGAAACAAGCACUACCAUAUCUCUAGUGGCAACAUACCAGCUCAGCUAGGCUGUGCAAUACCACUCAGACUCCUAUGUACCUAGACUUACACUAGCAGUGCUUUACAAGACAACGACACAUAAUGACUUUACAUAUGCCACUCAAAGUUUAAGGAUCACUAAACCCGUUUUCCUCACACUAUAUAACCCUUAGAUCCCCCCCACUCUCAGGGUCCCCUCCCGCUGGGCUGAAGGGGUUAAAACCAGCGCCGGGCUGGUGACCUCUAAAACCAGCGCCGGCGCUGGUGACCUCUCCUCCUCCGCCGACGUCAGCUCCAUUUCUCAAUGAUUUCUUAUGGGCGAUUUACGCAUCCAGCGUCGCAGAAGUGCCUCUAGCGGCUGUCAGGAAGACAGCUACUUGAGGCUGAAUUAACCCUGCAAUGUAAACAUAGCAGUUUCUCUGUUUACAUCUGAAGGGUUAAAACCUGGGGGACCUGGCACCCAGACCACUUCAUUGAGCUGAAGUGGUCUGGGUGACUAUAGUGUCCCUUUAAGUACUACCACAUCGAAUUCAGUGAGACAUACACCUAUGUGCCAUUCCCAUAUAUACAGCAUAUGUACAUCAAUGAUAAAUAACCUGACUAAGGCAAAUGGCCCUAUAAUGUGGCACUACACUAUAUCUCUACACCAGCACAGUCCAACCGUUCUACGCCAUAAAGUGCACAUAUAACCCUCAUCCCUCCUAGGAGAUAUGGGUCCACAAACAUCUCCUCCUGGACCAUUAACUUUGCCUCCUUGCUUAAAGAGAGGCGCACUGCUCCACAUAGACGGGUGAUAAUUACUCCCCUCAUUUCAUAUGUUACCUCUCAUUACAACAUAUCAAUCUGUUUUGUUUAAAAAAUUGCACAAAUUGCAUCUCCACCGUGCUAUGUAUAUAUUGUGACAUGAUACUGAAAUAUGUGUUCUUGCUGUUGUGGUACUACACGUAUCCCUGUAAAUAAAGUCUAAAAAAAAAAAUUAUAAUAAUAAUAAUAUAACAAAUAGAAUUAACCUUACAGUUUGUAGUGCAAAGGUAGCUCUGUCUGAAUGCACUUGGGUGGUACAAUCCCUGCCUCGGGAUAUUCUGUGUCUGCUUUAAAGUGCUUUCAUGCAUAGGAACUCCACCUAGGUAUGGUGACAAAGGGUGGUGUUAACCCCUGCUUGGUGUCUCAUAGAUUUGUUGGUAGGUAAUAUAUAUAUAAAAAAAACAAGAAUAAAAAAUAUUGUGCUCACGGUUGUGUUGUGUUGUAAAUAAAAUAAUAAAAUUAGGAGAGUUACAAAUAGAGAGCAAAAAUUAGGUUUUAAUCAAUCCACAACACUCAGGCAGGCACAACACUCAGGCCACCAGAAAUUUUGGGGCCCCUAACUGAGCUCAGGGUCUGGGCCCCUGGAGGCCUGCCUCCAAGCCCGCCCACAGGGACCGCCUCCAAAUCCUGCCCAGAGGAAUACCACACAGACACAUUCACUGAUAUAAAUGUACACAGAUACACACACACACACACACACUGAUACAUACUAACAGACACACAUACUGAAACAGACAUACACGCAUAUAGGCAUACAUACUGACACACACAUAUUGAGACAUACACAUAUACAGACACACAGGCAUACAUAGUGACAGACAGACACACACUACCACAGCGAUAUUUACCAGUCUCUUAGCAGAACUCCGUCAGAAUAUCUCUGCGGACAUCUCACAAGUUAGAGAGGAUGUUAAAGGAUUCACCAAGCGCCUAGCUGCAGUGGAGCAAACCACAACAGCACAAGCCUCACAAGUUCUCGCAGUACGAAAACAGGUCAGUGACCUAACCUCAGCCCAAGUCACUCUGAGCCACCAACUGGCAGCACUUGAAGACAAGAGGCGUUAUAAACACCUGAAGUUCAGAAGCCUGUCAGAUGGUGUAACUGCGGCAGAGCUGCCUGGGCCGCACCUCACCACCAGCGAUUACAAUCUGGGACCCAGCUACUGUUGUCCCAUUCAUCCCAGCAUCCAAGUGUGCAACCAGCGUAACAAACACCUGACUCUUGCACUUUCUCUUUAAUUAUUGUUUUCUUUUAUAUUUUCUUGCUGGAACUGGUCCCAAAACUAUGGACUUUAAAUUUUUCAAUUUUGUGGUUAACUCAAUCAAGUUCAUGGCUCUGACACCUCCCUAGACCACAAACCGAUAUGUCCAGCUGUACUGGCUCCUCAACUUCCACACCCCCCCCCCCACCAGUCCCAAACAAGAUAUACCACAUUGGCCUCCAACCAGUGGAGCUGUAUUUAACCAUUUAAUUAUUUUGCGAUUACUCAGUACUUAAUGUACCUUUGUGCUAUAAUUAGUCUUCGCUAUCGCCGUGUCUAUAGCAGAUAUAAAUCUAAUCGUCCAUGCUACAAAUAUAAAAAAAAAAAACACAGUCAGCGUAGUUAUCCUUUAUAAUCUAUAAGCCCUUGUACAAUUACCAAUGUCUUAUGGGCUAUGUAUAUCUCAUACCUGAUUGUGGACAAAAUAAAGAAUAAUAUAUAUUUUUAUUUUAUUUAUGAAUGAAUAUAUAUAUAAACAAAACCCCCAAAUAUAUAUAAACAAAACCCCCAAAUAUUGAAGGCUUGUCUGAGCUCCCUCUCUGGUCCAGGUAUAUAAGUGUUGUAAAUUGAGAAUUUCCAGCGUCCCAGUCUCUUAAUGAUGUGUACUGGGGUGUUAGAGCUUAAAGCUGGGUUGUAGCCCAACCUUGAUAGUAGGGUUCUGAUGUGAGGAAUGAAUUUAGCUGUGGUGAGUGGUUGCCCUUGGAGUAGCAGUAGUGGAGUGUCUGGUGAGUGCGUGUGGUGAGACAACAGGUGCAAAACCAGAAUAUUUACUGGGCACCAAAUAUUCUCGGUCGGGAAGAGGGGAAUGAUAGUUGGAUAGGCAGUGUGAUUAGUUUUGGAAGAAGGUAAAGAGAGUAUGUAGUGGUCAUCUACUUUCUUUAGGUGAGAAAGUUUAAGGCAUAGAGCGGUAUCUCCUUGACGUAUGACUGUGUACUCCCUAGGUCUGAAGAAACCUCAGAAAGCUAAAAAGAUGGUGGCUUUAAUGACCAGAUUUGUAUUACGGUCAAACGGGGAUUUGUCCAGUAGGUCGCUAAGAAGCAAGGGCAGAAAAUGACCAGCCUUGAUUGUGGACAGAAGGUGGUCCGCCGUAAGCAAGACAGUGAAUGCGGAUAAAAAGGGGUUUAGGUCAUAUAAUUGUACUUGUGGGGAAGGCCAUAAGUCCCGUGUGAGAACCCUUGUGAGAAAACCCAUCACCAGAUAAUUCCCAACUGCCUAGCUGGGUGUGAGUGCAGACAGAAAUCCAGCUCAUUUCUUAGGUGACAGUCGGGCUGGGCACAUGGUCUUGGUGUGAGCUCUGAAGCAAAUGGAGCAGAUGUGCAACAACCUGCAUGCACUGUAACUGCAUGCCCCCAUAUUAAAGUUAUUGCACACCUGCGCCUUGCCCAGGAAUGUGAAGGGUCUGCCCAGCUUGUCUCUUUGUCCGCCUUCCUGUCUUGUGAGUGGGGUGAAGAAGUGGUGGGAAGUGGAAGUGGAAGGGUCUGCGUCGCAAUGGCACAAGUUGGUGGAAUGAGAGGUGGAACUACAGAAGGUGCAGGACGGGGGCCUCAAACCAGCAAAAUGACGGCAAAACAGUUCUGUGUCCAUCUGGCACCAGUUGAUUUUUAUGUUGAACUGUGCCAGAUGAGUAGCUGCCUUUGCCGACACUGAUUUGUGAUAGUCGUAAAAUGAGGACCCUCUGUACUUGAUGCUUAAGUCAACCACCUUGUGCAUGUAUAAGUCAAGCUCUUCCCUCCUAUGUGGGUACACCGUGCAGAUAACGUCACGAUAAAUGCCAAAGGCGAUGACAAACUGGGGAAUGGAAAGUUUUUUAUUAAGUUGUGGAUCUCUGGUUCUUAAGACUACUGAAAUGUCCCCGUAAUUAUACGAUCUGUUUUCUAGGAUAUCUUGGGAGGCUAUGAGUAGUGACAUUAGAUUAACAUCCUUUCCAUCAAGAAUUUAUUUCUUGAUGGAAGCUGGGACAGAGUGGGCCGGUGAGACGUAUAGGGUAGUGGUAAUGUCUGGUGGGGGAGAGGAAAUGAGGGGUAUGCCAGUCUGUGCGGCCGAGACUACCAGUGUAGGGCCUGCUGGGGCUGUUAAAUCACUUGGUGUGGCUAUGGCCGAUUACACUUUCAGCAGCCUGCUGUUGAUCGUUUGGAGAUUGACCAGAAUAGCAGUCAGGGUCUCCUGAGUGGUAUCUGUGCCAUAGCUAGUGGCCCUCGUGAACUAGUGCUGGGCCUAGGGACAUUGGCCUGUGCCAUCAGGAGUCAGUAUAGUUCGGCCUGUCUAGCAGUGGCUGGAAAGGGGAUCCCCAUGAGUCUGAGCUCUGCCGAUAUUUUUGGAAUAGUCCAAUAUCUCAGGGAUCUGGGGGUAGAAGGGGUGAGGGAUUCCUCCGGAGACAGGACCUGACUGGCGUGCUGGGUUUUUUGUCCAACGGCAGAUCGAUGAUUGGGAUGGAAUCUUGUGACAUUCUGAAAAAGGAAUAAUGAUUUGGAUAAGUAGGGUGUCAUGGAGGUGGGGAUGAGACCUUGGGAGAACUGGCCUGCUAGCUAGCAAGUGACAGGUGAGGCCCUGCUAGUGCCAAGUGGUGGAGAGAGGCUCUACCUAUGAUUUGGGCCGAGGGAAUUUUGUGGCCACUUGAAUGUGGUGGCAGGAUGUUGGCCUCUCGGUGACCGUAAGAGAUUCAGGGCGAGCGGGGUGGCUAACUAUGAUUUGGUUGUGGGGCUGAACCUCCGGCGUUGAGGUGGGGAGUAGACCUCGCAGGACCGGUGUAUUUACUUAGGAUAGAUAAGGCCAGCGCCUAACCCUAAAUGCAAGUUCUCUAACCUGAUGGGGCUUGUCUCUUAGAAUAAUGUACUUGAACGUAUGUAGAUAUUAACCUUGAGUAUUUGUCCUAAUUCUUUGGACAAUGCACAGGAAGACUUCAAUAUAUAUUCUUGCUUCUGCAGGGAACGGGUCCGGUCAAGGUAUCCUAUUGGUAAAAUAGAUGCUAGUGGGCCCUGAGGCGUGCCACUGGUAUGCCAAGUGUAAAAAUGUCAAACGUAUGGGUAGGUGUGUAUCGAGGAUACUGUAACGUAAGAACCUGUGUAAGCUGAGGGACCUGAAGGUUGGUCCGUAAUUAGAGACAAGCCCCUGGGUUCAAACAAAUUGUGAAAUUUAAAUGAUACGAAGGUGAAGUGAGGCCUUAAGGAGAAACAUAAUCGUAGUAAGUAAUAUUAACAAUACCUGAUACUGAAAUGCAGGGAACCAGGUAGUCUGUUUGGUGGUUUAAGGCGUAGAACUCGGCGAAACUGCAGUAAUGACGCAGGUCUAAGUAAUUAUAUGUAGAAAUGAUAGACAAGAAAUGCACAGUUAAAUUAAUAGUAGCAAAGUGGUGUAGGUUUAUGUGAUUUGUUGAAAUCGUAGUGAGGAAUCUUAGACCUGGCUCGUUUUGAAGUUUAGAACCCAUUUUGGGAGGUGGGGAGGCUGAAUGAGGCCGUGGAGGCUGAAUAAGGCCUCAAGGGGAAAAUUAAAACUGGUAAACCUUCUUACCUGAUACAGUAAUACAGGAUACUGGGAUACCACUUCCUGGAGACUGUUUGAAGGAAAAGUAGUAGAACCUAAAAACAUAUGCAUUCUAAGUAUAAGGAACUUGUGUAAAAGGUUUUUUAGGAAACAGAGAUUUUGCAAUCGUGCAAUUGUCUGUAAUGAGCCUGGUGAAAAAAGGUCCGUAAGAGCUUAACCUAUGACAUGCAACUAAGAAAAAGAUGUAGUGGGCGGAGCAACCUUAGUUAGAUAGAAGAUUAGUAUGAAUACUAGUGAAAGAGAAAAUAAAUUGUACUAUAAUAGACUCCAGCGGGUUAAAUAAUGGUGCCUGGUGGUGUAUUUAGCAUACCGUUACUUAUUACGUGAUUGUGGCCACACUGAGCCUUUAAGAAGAUUCCCCUGUUUAAAAAUGGUGUCCCAUAAUUUAAUGUGACUAUAAACGGGAAAUAGUGCAACACAGAAUUACUAUUUUAGCCAGUGGUGGCUGAAGAGCCAUAUACUAAACACAUAAAUUAAUAAAGGAUAAAGAUAAUGUAAAAAGGUGAGUGCUUUUGUUUAAGUGAAUGGCAUAAUGAGGUACAUUCAUAACAGAUUUGUGAAUUGAAACGCUGAAGCCUCCUGCGUUUGGCUAAACGAACGAACGAGAGGACUGUAAGCAGAAAAGACCACCUGCGGUCGGUUAAAUGGAGCAUACGAAAAACUAAACGAAAGCCAUUUAUAUUGCGUUCAGCUGUACAAAUGUACGAAUGAAUAGACGAAUGUAAGUAAGUUUAGUGCGGUCGGCAGUUAGUUUAUACGAAAGACAAAAAUGAAGGUGUGUGUACUCUGCGGUCGGCUGUUAGCUGCACGAACGCAGAAGUGCACGAACAGAGAAAGUGCACGAACAGGAAAGAAUAAUGAAGGGAGCCUAUCCCUGCGUUUUUAGGCCCGAACGUGGGAAAUACCCGAAUGCUAUUUCCCACAUUAUGCUUACGUGGACGUGCCGGUCUCGUGACCGGAAACCGGGGGUUACGAUGUCGGUAAGAAGCCAGUUGGCAGGCACGGAGGUCAGACAAACUGCUGCUGGAGGCUGGAAUUUUGGCGGGAACUACUGACCGGAAGUGCUGGGACAAACAGCUUGAACGGCAAAGGUAAGUAGGGGGGUAGGGGUUUAAAUAGGGUCAUUACUCCUCCCACAAAUUCAGGCCAAAUGGCCUUCCAACAUAUAUAUAUAUAUAUAUGUAUAUAUAUAUAUAUACAUAUAUAUAUAUAUAUAUAUAUAUAUAUAUAUAUAUAUAUAUAAAAUAAAGUUAAAUAAUGCUCUUGCACUCACGCUUUAGUGUCUCUUUGUAACUAGGUGCUAGCAAGCCAAGGCUGUAUUAUCCAUUCUUCCAAGUAGGUAGCUGCACUCACAGAUUUUAAAAGUCCAAAAUGUAUUGAUAAAUGUUAAAAAAGACGAUCAACGUUUCAGUUCUACGUUCAAAUACCUAAUGAAAGUCCUCUAUGUAGGACUGAAACGUUGAUCUUCUUUUUUUAACAUUAAUCAAUAAAUUAUGGACUUUUAAAAUCCGUGAGUGCAGCUACCUACUUGGAAGAAUAUAUAUAUAUAUAUAUAUAUAAAAAAAAUUUAAAAAUCAAGAUGCACUCACUAGAGUGCAUCUUGAUUUUUUUAUUUUUAUAUAAUUGACGCACCCAGGCAAGUAAUACACUGUUUUUCUUUUUCAAGGAGAGUGCCAAGCUAUCAUCUUUUUAUAUAUAUAUAUAUAUAUAUAUAUAUAUAUAUAUAUAUAUAUAUAUAUUGAUUUCUUAUAUUUGGAAGUAGCUACUAGUAUUAAGCAAAUUACUAACUGUAACCCACAAUUUAACCUUGGAAUAAAGUUAACAUCCCACUCAAAAGUUUGUGUUAGUACCACUGUGGUAGUAGGUAGGCAAUAAGCUUUUUGUUUUGUUUUUAUAAUAUUUUACUGAAGAGAUGUUUUGUUCUACAAACACUUAACAAACAAGACCUGUCAAACUGUAAAUUAGUGGUUCCAAGUUGGCGUUAAAUGACUGUGGUUAGCAACAUCUCCUACCUUCCACUUAGAGUAGUUUUAAGUGCCACAUGGAGGAGCUAGCUUGGUAGAAACAGAAGUAAUCUAAACCUAGUCUCAUACUAGGAUUAAUGACACAGACUACACCCCACUACCACACUGACACAGCAAUGGUAAAAUCAUGUUUUGUCCAAUUACCACUUUAUUGGUCACAAGAUACAGUCCAUAUGGUUGGGAAGAUCUCUUGUCCAUCUUGGGAAAUUAAGCUGUUUUUUUGCCCCACCAAAUAAAACCUUGUCCUCCAUUCCAAUCCCCAAUUUUCUGGUAUCAAGAACAAAACUCAGUCAUUUGGAUUGUGAUUCUGUGAUAUGACAAUUCAGAGUUGCGAAGUUCCCAAAUUUAGACAAAGUGCCAUUUAAACCAAUUCUAGUCUAAUAUUAAUCUCAGUCUUUAAACUAAUUAUUGCUUUAGAAUUUCUUAUGAGUUUCUUCCCAAUUAUGCUUUCUCUUUCACUGUGACUAAGGUAAUUAUGACCAGGAGAAAAGAAAAAAAACAUAUGCUGCAAAUAUUAAUAAUAAUAUGAACCAGAGAUCCUUCAAUUCUGCAGAAUUUCCAUGUAAGUCAUGUUAUGUUUAAUGUUUUAUAUUACAGUAUGUUAUAUAUUACAAUAGGCAGGCUCUUAAAGAAGAACUGUUACGAGCAAUUAUUUUUACCAUUAUGUUUCUUUAAUCCCUAUAUUUUACGAAUAUUUAUUUAAAUUUGAAAAUGUAAACAAAAUGUAGAAAUCCACACCUCUUUAUUCUGAUAAUGGGCAUGUCCGUCCGAGCUCGCUUUCAAUCAUUGUUGCAAUUUUCCUUUUCACCUGGAAGCCAGCACAGAGAAAGCAUACUGAGAAGAAAUACAACUUACUGGAUCAUUAACUAAAGUAAGAAUUGUUGGGAAUCCAAAGUGAAUUUCAAAUUUAAGGCCAAAAUAGCUGAAAAUCUCCAAAUCAGCUAUACUUCCUGUUUGGCUAGUUUGGUCUAUUAAAGUUCUAUUCUAGGGAUUAGACAUGUUAACUACUUAUCACUGGAUUCGCUGGAAGAUUAUGUGACUGCGUUAAAUUGUCCUUCUCUUUUGAGUGGUUCUAACAAUCUCAGAAUGAAGAUUACGGGAAUGGAAAUCAAUUAGUUGAAUAGUUAUGCAGAAUUUGCUAAAAUAGUGCCUAAGGUUAAAAUCAAUCAGCUAUAAAACAAUUACACUGCUUGAACAGCAAAAAAACACAAGCUAUAGGGUGUUUUGACAAAUACAUCUAACGGGGCUAGAAGCUGUGUAGAUGACAAAUUCACUUUGAGUACAUUCAAGACAGAGUUAUUCACAAGGAACUAACAAGCACUCUGUAUCAUUUUGAAGCUGGGGGCAAUAAUCUAUGUUUCUUUUUACAUGAGCUACUGGAAAUUGAUUAAAGAACACUUGGCCGGCUUAGUUUAGUCACAAAGUGAGAAACAGCUAUUGCAGUUUUGCUCGGGGCUCGAUACAUCUUAGAACACUUAAAAUAACACCAGGAGCAUUCAGAGCAUGUAGCAAAAUGUAGUGGGUGUGCUGUUAUUGUUAAAAUAUUUAUUUUAGCAUGUUAUGUUUAUGUUAAAAAGCAAUGUAAUAAAUGUAUAAUAGUAAUCAGAAUGAAUCCCAUACAUAACAAACAGAAACGUUAUUAGAUGCCAAGACCAAAUAGAUAUUGGCAGUAUAAUAUGCAAUAUAGCAUAGGCAUAGGUUCUUAACCAGUGUUAUGCAUACCCCAGGGUGUACGCACCCAACAAGCAGUGGGUAUGCUAAAAGUUGGCCGUCUACCCUCCUUAUUGCCCCCCCAGAAGGAGGCCAGCUGUGUGCUAAGGCUGGCAGGUGCCUACUCUGCCCAAAUGCGCUGUGUCCGGAGGCGGGAAUAAAGGUGGACGGUGAGGGAGCACUGAUGUCUGUGCUCUUCCAACACUAUACCCUCAUGUACCCUGCGUUGAUGCCGCGACAUGGUUAUGACGUAACUCCGGCCUAAACAUCGUUCUAGGGUGCAUAGCAAGAAAACCAUAAAAAUGACAGCUGCCACACUAGACCCCAUGGGAAAGACCCCACUAAAGAAUCCCCACUAGAACCCAGGGAAAGAAUCCAUCCUAUGUCUCCCAAAGGUAAGGAGACUAGGUGGGCUUAAAUAAAAAUAAUAAAAAAAAAAACAUAAUUUGUGAGUGCGUGAAAGAAUGUGUUUGUGUCUGUCAGUGUGCUUCAAAUCAGUUAGCGUGUGUGUCAUAAGUGGGUCUGCUAUUGUGUGUCAAAUCAGGGAGUGUGUGUGUCUGUCAGUGAGUGUGUGUGUGUGUGUGAGUGUGUGUCUGUCUGUCUGUCAGUGAAUGUAUGUGUGUGUUUCAGUAAGUAUGUCUGUUAGUGUGUGUCAAAUCAGUGACAGGGUGCCUGUUGAUGAGUCAGUGAGUGUCAGUGUCCUGACUGUAAAUAUGUGUGUGUCAGUGACCAAAGGUAUAAAUGUGUGUGUGUCAGUGUUCUCUGUGUGUAAUUGUUUGUGUUUAUUAUAUUUUCAAUUUAUGUCUUUUAUACUUUAGAUCAAUAGUUCAUACACUCCUCCUUACAUACACACUAUUCACAUUAUAUCAUAUUUAUUUUAACAAUAUUCUUUAUCACCUUUAAUCAGGCUUGUCCUCCACUAUAUGAGAAACCGAAAUGACUACACCAGGGCCAUCUAUAAUAUGAAUAGGACCCUGGGCAAAGAAUUUUGUUGGGCCCCCUGGGCCCUGCGACCCUCCCAAUCCCCCUCGCCCCCAAUUAUGCCCAACCCCCAAUCACACUGACAUACUGACACAUACACACAGACAGACAUAUUAAAACAUUCACAGAUACAUACUGACACACACAUACACUGACACACAAAUAUAUAUUGGCAGGCAUAUUGACACACAUUCAGACAUACUGACACACACAUACAUACACACAGACACAUACACUGACAGAUAUACUGACACACAGACACAUACAAUGACAGAAAUACUGACACACACACAUACACUGAGAGAAGUAUUGACACACACACAGACAUGCUGACACACACAGGCAUACUGAUAUACACACACUGACACAGACAGACAUAGUGACACACACAAAGACAGACAUAGUGACACACACAAAGACAGACAUACGGACACACACACAGACAGACAUACUGACAUACACACACAGACAUACUGACACACACACACAGACAUACUGACACACACACAGACAGACAUACUGACAUACACAGACAGACAUACUGCCACACACACAGACAUACUGACACACACAGACAGAUAUUUGACACAUGCACACAGACAGAUUUGACACACACAGGCAUACUGACAUACACACAGACAGACAUACUGACACACAGACACACAUACACUGACAUAAUUUUGACCACACACACAGACAUGCUGACAGACACACAUACAGGCAUACUGACAUACUGACACACACAGACAUACUGCCACACAGACAUACUGACACACACACAGGCAUGCUGACACACACACACAGGCAUACUGACAUAACACACACACAUACAUACUGCCACACAGACAUACUGACACACACACAGGCAUGCUGACAUACACACAGACAGACAUACUGACACACACACACAGACAUACUAACAUACAGACAGACAGACAUACUGACACACACACUGACAGACAUACUGUCUGACACACUGACAGACAUACUGACACGCACAGACAUACUGACAUACAUUUAGCCACCCUCCAACCACCCUUACCUUUUCUGGAGAGUGGUUUCCCUGGGGUCCAGUGGCAGGCUGAGGCAGUUGGGAGUUCUCCUCUGAAACUCCUCUCCUCCCUGCCUUCCUCCUCCCGCGCGGCUCUGAUCUCCUGUAGGAGGAAGUGACGCGCGGCACUCACUUCCUCCCAGCCGGCUGCCAAACAGGAAGGGGCCUGGUCGCGCUGUUUAAGCGUCACAGCGCCCGACCGGGCCCCUGCUGACAAAUGCCCACCAGGUGGCCCUUAUCGCAUGGGCCACCCGGGGGCCCUCUUUAGCGUGUGGGAUGAUGCGGCUGCGCAAAUCGCGGGGCCCACAGGGCAGCUGCUCUGGGGGCCCCCAGGAGCAACUGGGCCCGGGGCAGCUGCCCCAUUUGCCCCGCGCUAAAGACGGCCCUGGACUACACAUUUCAUUUGGAAUUUGAAUCAACAGAAAUUUUCCUAAUUUGUUGCAAAAUUGGAAGCGCUUCAGGAUCGGUUUUUUUUCCCUUCUUUUUGAUCAACAGCAAAAACAUAUGUGAGGAAGACUGAACUUGAUGGACUCAAGUCUCUUUUCAGCUAUGUAACUAUGUAACUAUGUAAAGUUACUUUAGCAAGGCUUUGGAAUUUGUUUAGCAACGGUACUUCUCUGUAAAAGGUUGAGAAACAUUGCCAUAAGGUAUUACUAAAAUAUUUUUCAGACUUUAAUCUUUUAAAACAUGUUGUCAUUUGAGAUUUUUUUGUAUUAUAUUUUUUUACAGACAUAUAGACCAUGUUUUCUAUCAAGUGCUGGUGUUUAAAUGAUGGUAAAAUCAAAUUGUUUUCAGCAAUUCAAUGAUAAUGCUGCUUAAAGGACCACUCUAGGCACUCAGACCACUUCAUCUUAAUGAAGUGGUCUGGGUGCCAGGUCAUUCUAGGGUUAACCCAUUUUUUUAUAAACAUAGCAGUUUCAGAGAAACUGCUAUGUUUAUGAAUGGGUUAAGCCUUCCCCCUAAUCCUUUAGUGGCUGUCUCACUGACAGCCACUAGAGGCGCUAUGCUUCUCACUGUGAUUUUCACAGUGAGAGCAUGCCAGCGUCCAUAGGAAAGCAUUGUAAAUGCUUUCCUAUGAGACCGGCUGAAUGCGCGCGCAGCUCCUGCCGCGCGUGCGCAUUCAGCCGGCGGGGCGGAACGGAGGAGGAUCGGAGGAGGAGAGCUCCCCGCCCAGCGCUGGAAAAAGGUAAGGUAAACCCCUUUCCCCCUUCCAGAGCCGGGCGGGAGUGGGACCCUGAGGGUGGGGGCACCCUCAGGGCACUAUAGUGCCAGGAAAACGAGUAUGUUUUCCUGGCACUAUAGUGGUCCUUUAACGUAGAAAAAUGAUUGACUGAAACUCUGCCAUCAUCAUUAAUUAAAUUGCAAGAUUAAAGGGACAUUAUAGUCACCCAGUCUCAUUGAAGUGGUCUGGGAGCAGUGCCCUUGUCCCCUAAACCCGGCAAUGUUAAUUAUUGCAGUUUCUGAGAAUCUGAAAUAAUUUUAUUGCUGGGGUUUACUCCAUCUCUCAUGGCUGUCUGAGAGACACUUCCUGGUGUUUCACAGAGAUUUAGUCCUUGAAACAACACUGGAUGUCCUUAUACUUACUGGAUGAGGAUGUCCAGCAUCUUUAAAAACCUCAUAGGAAGGCUAACCUCAUAGGAAUGCUCUCAGCACAUUCACAUUAGGUCUCCCCAUCGAUGACAUCACUGGAUGAGGAUCCUGAUCCAUCAGAGAGGGACCUCAGUGUUGGAAUCAGGUAAGUAAAUGAAAGGGGGGUUUUAACCCUUUCAUGGGGAUACACUGUAGUGUUUUUAAAUACACUUUUGUAUUCCUAUCAGUAUAGUAUUAUUUUAACAACAAACAAAAUGGUGAUAUUGCAAGAUUUUCAAUUAUAUCACAAACUAGUGGUGAUUAUAGGUGACGUGUUCCCUUAAUCUGUUGUUUUCCAAAUCAUAAAUUUUGAGUAAAAUAUAUGUAUGUGUGGAUUAUAAUUAUUAUAAUUGCAUUAUAUUGUUGUAGCAGUGCUUAUUUAUAAUUUAUUUUCUUUCAUUGAUCAACCAAGAAAUGUUCAUAUAAUGAUUUCAAACAUAAUAAACUUGAGAAAUGGUGUUUGCAUUGUUUUCUGCUCCUGUGCAAAACCAUUUUUGGUUAGUUAGCUGAAAAUUAUUUUUGGUGAUUUAUCAAGUCCUUUUGCUUGUAUAAUUUGAUAAUGGUAAAUGGUUCUUGGUAUUGUGCUGAUAACUCUUUUUCAGAGUGAUUGUGAUCUCCUAAGUUUGCCUGGUUAGCAUGUGGUGUAGGGACAUUUUUCAAUACCAAUGUCAAAUGUUCUGUCAAAAGGUAUCAGAACAAUGUUAUUGUGAUCAUUGUUAAUGGCUCAUUAAUAGGUUUGAGCGGAUGUUCAGGUCCGGCAGGUUCGGAUGAACUUUGAAAGAAAGUCCGGGUUCGGGCUCGAAUUUCACCCCGAACUUGACCCCGAACCCUAUUGAAGUCAAUGGGGACCCACACUUUUGGGCACAAAAAUGCCUCUAAAAAAGUCCUGGAAAGGGUUAGAGAGCUGCAGAAGGAAGUAAAAUCGGGGUAAGAGUAGGACAAGUGCCCUGCAAACAAAUGUGGAUAGGGAAAUCACUUAAAAUAACAUAACAAUUUAAAAUACAGCUGAGCCAUAAAUUAGCACUAGAUGGAAUCUUUGAUUUUAGCUUUGGAAGAACAUAAAUCAAAAUCUAAAGCAUGGCUGUCAGGAGGAUCAACAGAAUUUGAGAGAGGGUUGGAGUGCAGGGUAUUCUCUUUCAUUGUUCAAACUGAGCUCAACUCCUGAUGCAUGGAGAAAAUGCCUUCACAAGCAUCUGCUAUUGUGUACAUAGUUUACUGUUUUUUAUAUAUAUAUAUAUAUAUAUUUUUUUUUUUUUUAAUUGGGGUAGCCCCCAAAAUAUUGGGACAUAUAACAAAAGAGACAUUUGCGGCCUGCAGUGCAUUUCUUGCAGUCCUGAUGCAUGGAGAAAUGCUCAACUCCUGAUUCAUGGAGAAAAGGCCUUCACAAGCCUCUGCUAUUGUGUACAUAGUUUAUACUAAGUGACUCAUAGGUUGUGGAGGCGGUGAUCACGGCGGUGUAGGUGGAAGCAGCGGUGGAGGAGGAGGAGGUAGCCAACACUGUUUUAUAUAUAUAUAUAUAUAUUUUUUUAACUGGCGUAGCCCCCAAAAUAUUGGAAAAUAUAAAAAAAGAAAACUGUUCGGCAGAGCGACUGACCUGUGCGUGCUGCAUCUGAAACUCCACUAUCGCCUGCUGCUGCUCGCACAAUCUCAUGAGGUGGUGAGCGGGAAGUCCAAAGUUAUGCUGCAGCGUAGACAGGCGAGCAGCAGGCUGAGAAUGCCGAACGCGCGCACAGACGGUCCACACUUUUUCAAUGUGCUACCAAACGACAAGGCGACGACGCAUUCGUAUGUCAAUCCAUAUCAACUUUCGAUGCCAUUUACUGUGCCUACCAUGGUGACCACUGGUAACAGGGAAUCAGUAUUCGAUUCUGUACAGGGACUCUGACAAACGGCUACCACAUGCAAGGAAGGCAGCAGGCACGCAAAUGACCCCCUCCCGACGACAAAUAACAAUACAGGAUUCUUUAGAGGCCCUUUAAUUGUAAUGAGUUCACUUGAAAUCCUUUAACUCUGAUCAAUUGGAGGGCAAGUAUGGUGCAGAGCGACUGACCCGUGCGUGCUGCAGAUGAAACUCCACUAUCGCCUGCUGUUGCUCGCACAGUCUCUCCAGCAUGUGCAAGGUGGAGUUCCACCUUGUGGGCACAUCGCAUAUGAGGCGGUGAGCGGGAAGGCCAAAGUUACGCUGCAGUGCAGACAGGCGAGCAGCAGCAGGGUGAGAAUGCAGAAAGCCGCUACAGUGAAUGUCGCAUCCUGUUCCAAGUUGCGGAUUAGUCUGGUGAUAGCUUCUGGUAUCCAGUACUCUUUUUACUGAAGCUGCAUCAGGGUCCUGGUAUGUGGCAGCACAAACGCUGGUGCUCAACACCAGGGGGCAUGCGGUUACCCUGCGCCAGACCCUGCUAAUCCAUUCCACACUGUGGCUCCUAACUUCAACAUCAGGCAUACUGGGUCCCAGUCGUCCGACCGCCGCCCAGACAGUGUCUGGAUCCCGGUCACCGGACUGUGAAACUGCGAAUGGCUAGUUAAAUCUGUUAUGGUUCAUUUUAUCGCUCCAUCUGUUACUUGGAUAACUGUGGGAAUUCUAAAGAUAAUACAUGCCAACGAGCGCUAGGGGACGGCCGCUCCACUUUUGCACCCUGCUCCCUCUUAUGCUGUACUGGUGCCUUUGUGCGACCAGAGCCUCUUCCUCCAAACUGCACACGUCACUCGCAUGACCUUGAUUCCAUGUGGGGUCUAGGACCUCAUCAUCCUCCACAUCAUCUUCCACCCACUCCUCAACCCUGCUCUCAUUGCCAGUCUGCAAACUGCAGAAAGCCACAGCAGUUGGCACCUGUGUUUUUCCAGCAUGUAAAGUCUGCAAAGAACAUAUGGAAAUUGUUUUAGAAUUGUAUCCAGGCAACAGUUUUCCCUAUAAACUGACCUCUCAGUUUGACUUGUGAGGGUAUUGCCCCCGAAUUACAAUAUUGUUAUAUUGGUAUUUGACGCCUCUAUUUGACUCUCAGACAUGAAGAGCAUGCCCCAAAAUGUACUAUUUAACAGUUUAGCAGCAAAACAAUUAGUAUGUUUACAACUGUGCUGCAAGCGCACUAUUUGACGCUUCUAUUUGACUCUCAGAUAUGAAGAGCACGCCCAAAAUGUACUAUUUAGCAGAUUAGCACCAAGAAAAUAAUAAUUUUUACAACUUCUCUGUAAGCGCACUAUUUGUAGCUUUGACUUGACUCUCAGAUAUGAAGAGCACAACCCAAAGUGUACUAUUUAGCAGUUUAGCAGCAAAACAAUUAGAAUGUUUACAACUGUGCUGUAAGCGCACUAUUUGACGCAUCUAUUUGACUGUCAGAUAUGAAGAGCAGGCCCCAAACUGUACAAUUUAGCAGUUUAGCACCCAGAAAAUUAGAAUGUUUACAACUGCGCUGUAAACACACUAUUAGACGCUUCUAUUUGACUUUCAGAUAUGAAGGGCAGGCCCCAAAAUGUACUAUUUAGCAGAUUAGCAGCAAAACAAUUCAAAUUUUUACAACUGCGCUGUAAGUGCACUAUUAGACGCUUCUGUUUGACUCUCAGAUAUGAAGAGCAGGCCCCAAAAUGUACUAUUUAGCAGUUUUGCACCCAGAAAAUAAGAAUGUUUACAACUGCGCUGUAAGCGCACUAUUAGACGCUUCUAUUUGACUCUCAGAUAUCAGAAAAGGCCCCAAAAUUUACUAUUUAGCCGAUUAGCACCCAGAAAAUUAGAAUUUUUACAACUGCGCUGUAAGCACACUAUUUUUUUUUUAAAUUCUUUAUUUUUUAAAUUUUACAUUUUCAGCGGGGGUUGGAUACAGAAGAAAACUUGGGAAUGGGGUUAGUAUUACAGAGUUCGUAGACCAUAGUUAUGCUGUUUGUUACAUAGAGAUCAUUCUAAUACUGUUUCUUCUCUAGUUACAAUAGCGAUCUUUUGUUUACAAGAUAUUAGUCUGUCCAUUUCCUUAGUUACUGUUCUAGGUCUAAGGGUUGGGGAGGGGGUACAGAAUAGGAGUGGGAGGGGGGUGGGGUACCCUGUCUGGUGUUGAUGCCAGGAGGUUUUGAGUCUGGUCAUCUUUGGUUACAUACCAUAUCCAUCUUAGUGAUUUUGUGUUGCGUCUUAAUCGUUCUUGUUGGGUGUGGAAGUCAGGGUGUUAGGUGGGGUGUGACAGACCCAUCUGUCUGGACUAAAAGUACUGUGUUCGUCUGUUUUGCCGUUUGCAUGAAUUCCCCCAUUCGUAUGCUUUGUUUAAGGGAACGCCGGUUUUUGUCGAACGGAACUACCGAACGGACGGCCACCCAGAAGAGAAGUGUGCUGCUGGUUAACCUAUUGAUCCUAAUUAGAAUGUUGCGGUUAACCACAGACACUUCUCAAUUUAAACCGAAUACCAGGUGGUCGUCGUUAGUAUGUCGACCACGAGGCGGCGGCCAUUUUAACCAUGCGAAAGACCAACGGUGUUCGACGGUUAUUUCAUGGAACUGAAAACGGACACUUUUUCAACCGAACACCGCUGAAGCCGUCGACCUCCCCUUCUCAAUCGACAAAAGCAUACGAAUGCCGGCCGUUCGGGAGAUUCAACAACACGAAUGGACUUAACCCAGAUAGCCUUCCCAUGGAGUCAAUCGCAUACCGAAGAACUGUAAUAGACUUUGACUCCAUGGCGAUUGAACUAUGCGAAUGGGAUCUGAGCGCUAUUCGCCAAUAAUAUGCACUCAGAUCCAGGCUAUCUGGGGAUGUGUUACACGAAUGCAAUAUGUUCGGCAGUUAUAAAGUUAUAGAUUUUUAUGUGUUUUAUGACUUGUAUUUAAAAUGGCGAUUUGCCUCUGCUCUGGGAGAUAAUUGAAUUACUUCCCAAUUAUCUCCCGAGCAGAGGGGAGGGAACUGUGAUGCAUGCUGGGAAUAUUGUGGGGAUGUAUGUCCAAAAUGUCCCCAUGUCCUUCUGUCAUUUCAGUCUCCCAUUUGGUCCCCUAGGGGAGUGUCCACCAAGUGGGAGACCUGCAUAAAUACCGGGCAGGUAGCCCACAGUAAAUCAGUUCGUGUUUUACCCUCAAAGCGGAGCUUGGUCUCGUUAUUGGGAGGAUUUUAUUACCGGCGCCUAGAGACUGCUUAUUGGAAUUAUUUGCCGCUUGGAAGAUAUUGGCGUUCGGUUAAUCUUGGCAGUUCGUGGAUUUGGAGCUCGUGAAGGGAAAGAGCCGUACAGGUACCGUUCGAGAGUUUGUAGUGUUCCCUAGCUGGCGGUUCACAUGGUUUUACUAUACAUGCUACCAGACCACAUUAUUGCGAACGGGGAACAUUCACUAAACGGCGGUUUGGGCAUUUUAUUACUGGAGGUACCGUAACAUGGGGAUAUUGUGUGUUUUGUGGUCGUGUACAGCGUCAGGUCGCGUCAUCUUACCGUCGCUGAUGUUUGUUGUCAUGGGUGGGGGAUGGGUGAUCGGGGUUUGGUUCCGUGGGUCGGUUGUGUGUGUUUUUAGGGUUGUACUGGGGAGUGGGGGUGUGGAACUAGUUGUGGUGGGUGUUUUCUGUGGGGUUCCGGUCUUAGCUGUGGGGGCUUAAUGUGGGGGUGUGGUGUGAGCUCCUUCCUUGUCGGUGUCCAUUGUAGUUGGGCCUCUCUGUUUUGGGGUUGCUUGUAGCUUGUCUUGGCAGGAAGGGGGUGUCCGGGUUCCAUCUUUACUUUAUCUGUUGUGUGCUGUCUGUUUCCCUCGGCGGGGUUAUGCCAGUUUGUUGUCGGUGGCGCGUGUUUAGUCUGUUCGUUGUCUUGUGGUGCACUCUUUGACGCUUCUAUUUGACUCUCAGAUAUGAAGAGCAGGCCCCAAAAUGUACUAUUUAGCAGAUUAGCAUCCAGAAAAUAAGAAUGUUUACAACUGCGCUGUAAGUGCACUAUUUGACGCUUCGAUUUUACUCUCAGAUAUGAAGAGCACGCCCAAAAUGUACUAUUUAGCACAUUAGCACCCAGAAAAUAAGAAUGUUUACAACUGCGCUGUAAGUGCACUAUUUGACGCUUUGAUUUUACUCUCAGAUAUGAAGAGCAUCCCACUAAUGUACUUUUUAGCACCAAAAAAAAUGACUUUUUAAAACUCCGAUGUAACCGCAGUAUUUGACGCUUCUGUUUGACUCCGAGAUAUGAAGUGCACCCCACUAAUGUACUAGUUUGCAGAAUUCUUUCCUAAUCUGUCCCUGAAAGCGGCAGCAUCCUCUCCCUACAGUAAUAAGAACUCAUGUACAUGCUGCACUGGCCAAACACAGCCAUGCACACAACUCAAACGCUUGUUGAUUGGCUGCCCUGCAGCCUUUGAAAACGCUCCAUUAAAUCGCUGAACACCGAACUCCAACCCGAACAUACAGUGAUAUGUCCGUGUUCGGGUCCAGGGUCCAAAAUAUGUAAUGUUCAGUACGAACCCGAACUUUACAGUCCGGGUUCACUCAACUCUAAUUGUGACGUAAUAACUGUGCAAUCUUAAUAGGGAGAGUAAAAGUAAAAAAAACUAUUAAACACUAAUAUCCCCUUGUCCCCCUCACUAUCUAGAUUUAAGGAUGAUUAAAGAUUUAAGGCCCACAUCCAGGACUUCGACUCCACAAGCCCCUCCCACCUUUGAAUCUAUACAGAACAAUAUGGCAGAAUCCAGGAUAUGACUAAGACUCAACAUGCAAAAGCUAAAUUAACAAAUAAAAUAUAAUCCAUAUAGUAAAGUGUAUUACCAUAUUACCGGCUAAUAAUAUUGAAUAGUAUGGAACAGGCCUAGGUCAAGGUGACAGAGAGCAUGUACAUGGUAAGACAAGCCAGAUAUCAAGAAAUUGUUAGGUCACAAUUUGUAAAUCUACAAAAUUCAACAAUGUUCACAAGUUAGCUUUUCUGUCUAGGUAGAAGUAAGUAUUAAAAGUUAUUAUACAUGUUUGUAUUUGCCUGAGCAACCAAAAUAUAUGGUGCAUGUAUUAAUUUUAUUCCCUGAUAUAAAAGGCUGUUUAGCUGGUUCUCUGGGGAGCACUGUAUUCACAUUAUACCUUACUCACCGUGCCUAUUUUUUUCUCAUACAUAUCUUGCUACCUCAACAAUGAAAUCUCAAUCAGGUUACGAACUAAUUAGUGUUGUGGCUUUCAAACAUGUUUUUAAUGCCUUCCUGUUUUUAUAGAUAGUAAAUGCAUAAUGCAGUUGUAGAGAAUGUUAGUACACUAUGAAUUAAAGAUGAGAAUGCCAAUAUUACUGUUUUUCUAGAUUAAACUUUAACUCCUUCACUACACACUUCAUUUCACUGCAUUUUCUUUAUUUUUAUUUUUUUUUAUCAUUUAUACAGCAUAUGAAAUAUGGGAUGUCUAUCUGGCUCUGAAAUAAAUAACACAGGAAUAUUGAGUAAUGACUGCUCUUCAAGAACACCUAAACAUUUAAAUUGUUCAUUUAUUUGUUAAUCCUGUGCAGAAAUAUUCUAUAUUAAAAAUGCCACUAAUGUG